This 51615-nucleotide long non-coding RNA is filed under the name Marmota monax (woodchuck). Lineage: Eukaryota; Metazoa; Chordata; Mammalia; Rodentia; Sciuridae. The record is from RNAcentral.
CUGGCAUUCCUCACUGAAGUGUGGUGGCAGUCAGAUGAGCUGGAGUUGGUCACAUGUGGACGUAGGGACAGAAACUGGAGCUCAGAAAGACCUGGCCCCACCGCACAGCAAGGAGCACCCUGCCAGGUCUGGGGACCAGGGCCUCUGCAUGCUAGGCGAGCACUGUACCAUGGAGCUACAUCCCCAGACUUUAAAAUUUUUUUUUAGACAAGGUCUUGCUAAAUUGCUGAGGCUGGCCUCAAAUUUGUGAUCCUCCUGCCUAAGUCUCCUGAGUAGCUGGAAUUACAGUCAUGUGCCACCCCGCCUGGCUCUUAACAUUUUUUUUUUCCAGAGGAAAAACAUCCCACAAUAAACAGCUUUACUUUAGCUGUUUAUAUAAAAAAUAUAAACUCCAUGGUUUAUCUUUGGAAGACUCUAGAUUCCUGGCGCUUGUGGAAAUGUUCAGCAUUGGAGAAAAUAUUCUGGGGCAUGGUCCUUAUUUUCCUUAUUCUGCAACUUCCUACUGAUGGGCAGCUGACUUCAUGCUGGGAGAAAAGUUUUGGGUGGAUUAUAUUUCUGAAGAUCUGAGCCCUGCUGGGAUAUCUGCGGGCGGUGGUGGUUGCAACCCCCACCUGGAGCAGCAGGGGGCAGCCUGUAGCUAGGAAUCCUCCACCAGGCCUGCAGAAUCACUGUGGUUCUUCCAGCCCUCCAUGGUCAACUGUGACUGUUUCUGAUCCAAGACAGAAAACAAGUGCGACAUCCAAAGAAGGAGUCCAUGGAGGAGGCAGCAGUGGGCUGGGGGGUCAGGUGCUCACAGACAGUCCUUCUCAACAAUGGAUUCCAGCAGGGUGAACAGGUAGGCCCAGGCAUCUGCCAAUCAGAAGGGACGCAGAGCCUCCUGCUGCUCAGGCGUGGGGGCCUGGGAUUGGGCAGCAGCUAUUCCCUGGUUGAUGUGAGUGCUAUCAAUAUGCUCCCAGGCCACCUGAUGAGGGCUGUGGGUGCGCUCUGUGUGGUGGGAUUGCUAAUGAGGACAUGAGUCUGGGGAGCGGCCUAGGCUGCUUUGCUUUUGCCCUUCCAAGCCUGCAUCUGAGCCCAGGACUUGCCCGGCCCUGCUGACCUGUACAGGGGGCCCAGCUGGCUCCCACACCUCAGCUGGGAUUAGCCUAACUCCUGGCUGAGUAGUUUGGGAGCCCUGCUUGUCCCUGGCUGCUGUGUGUGGGGUCUCCCUGGGGGUCUGACUCAAGGAGUUGGGAAUCAGCCUCUGAUUCUGCACAGUAGGUGUCUGAUGGGAGGCUCUAAUAAGGAGCUUGGGAAUGGGGUUACUGGGGAGGGGCUGAGGACACUGCCAACUAGUGACAACUAGGAGAUUCUGUCUCAGAGACCUCCUAUAGUGCUGCCCUUUGCUGUUGGGGCAGGAGCUAACCCCUGGCCUGACCCUCAGGUGAGGCUGCAGGGACCAGGACAAGGCCUGUCAAGCAACUUGACUGGCAGGUGUUUCUGAGCCAGCAGAGACCAGGAGAGAGAAGGUUGUGGGUGUCCUGAGGGAAAGGCCAGCAUUGUGGCACAGACACCACUAUCUGGCUCCAUCUGGCUCUGGAACCAGGGGCUGGGGGCCAGGUGCGCAUGUCCCUGACUGGCUGGCUUCUACUGCUACAUCAAAAAUGCUCUUUUGCCCAGGCCCACCUGAAUUUGUGCUGUCCUUCUGGUGGAGUGCUUGAGUUCCAGCUGCUGAGAGGAGUGGGAGAGCUAGUCCUGCUAAGGCUCCAGGCUCAGUGUCAACCACUUGGCUGAAAGGACAUGAAUGAGGUCAUAUUGCCCAUAUGAGCAUCACAGUCCUCAGAUCCCUCCCAGCUACCCUGCCUUCUGUGUCUACAGAGGGCUACGGAGUGGACCAGAGAGUGGCAGGACCGAGGGGUGUCGAUGACAGGGCUCCUUUGCUCCCUGUCAGGUGGGGCUGUUGUGCUGUGACUGCUCAGUGGGCUGCAUCCCUGCCACCUGUGCCUUCUCGAUGGAGUCCUCCAGGGAUGGGAUGCUCAAGCCCGAUAGCUGGGGCAGCUUGCCAGGUAGCUGGGUCAGGCGGGGAGCAGAGGAGGGGGAAUAGCAUAGCAGGCAGAGGGAACAGCGUGGACAAAGGAGUGAAGGUGAGGGUGGCAUAAAUUGCAAGUAGUGCCUGUGGCUGGAGCCCAGGUGAUGGGGGAGGUGGGUGAAGAUGGGAAGGAACUAGAGGCUUUGAGGGGCAAGAGGUCUCCCGUGGGGCAGUGGGCAGAUGGUGGAGUGGGUGCCCCUGAUGGAUUUGGUUGAGGUGGGCACACCUGCUUACAGCUCAACAUACCCUGUGGGCCAUGGAGGAUGGCUGGGAACAGCCUGGGGCUGAGGGCCGGCUCUUACCCCUGUAGACUGAUGCCUGUGGCCUUAGUCCCUCUCUGACCCAGCAAGACAAAAGGCUGCCCGAUGCGGUGCUGGCCUGAUGGGUGGUGAAGGAGCAGCUUUGGUUACCUGGAGACAGAGGGUGUGGGUGGUGGCUGGUUGGGGUGGGUGAGGGGGACCUGGCCAGGUGGAGCGUGGGAUCUGCGUCAGGCCAAGCUUCCUCCUGGCUCCUCUUCACCCAGAAGCCCCUCCUGUCUUCCUCCCUGGAGAAUGGACAUCCUCACCCCGACCUGCCCCUGAAGGACAGGAGGAGAAGGCGGGUGCCAGGGCCAUUGCCGUGCUCGUCCACAGUGGGGCUGUUCUUGACUCCAGAACUGACCAUCAGCUCCCAGGCCUGCAGCUUGCUGAGCACGGACCUGGGCCUCCUCAGCCUCGGACAGUGUGCGGCUGCCCGCUCUGUCUCCCUCUUUCUCUGCGUUGUGUGGUGCUGGGGCUGGAACCCAAGGCUGUGGCACGCGAGGCAGGCACUUUGCCACUGAGCUACACCCCAGCCCCCUCUAUCCAUACCCAUCCCAUUGUUCUGUUUCUUUGGAAAACCUUGGCAAGGAACAUGGGGGUCACUGAGAUGAUCUCACCCGAGGAACGGCCAGGUCAGGUGGUGGAGGGGCUCCGUGUGGCCUUGACCUCCUGAGCGCUCAGGUCCUGCGCUCUGGUUUCCCAGCAGGUCGGUGCUCCCCCUCUGCCAUCUCCCAGAGAAGUGCCCGAGCCCGGCUUCUGAAGGAAGAGGAGCGUAUGCCCAAGGGCCACGGAGAACAUCGCACCUCUAAGGGUGAGGGCUGGGAAGUGGAGAGGGAGGAAGAACUCGGGGUCCCCAUGCUUGGUUUUCAGAGGUGUGAGGUUCUGGCAGGAGGGGUCCACGCCCUCAAGUGUGGUGUGGGGGCGGUGGGGCAGGACACAGCUCUGGCUCCGAGCUGCUUGGCAGGGGCAGGUCCUCUUAGGUCUUCGUGCUGACAGGCACUGGCGGUGCAUGCUGCCGUCUCAACGUCUUCAUGUAACCCCACGAGGACACACUGCUGUGCCCCAGUUGAUCAGUGAAGAAAAGAGGCUCAGCCAGAGUGAUUUGCCCGAGAUCUCCAGGCUGGUGGGUGUGCAGAUUGGACUCCUUGUUCGGGGGUCUGAGGCCACAUUCCUGCUCCUGUUCCUUACUCCCUGAGGGGAACUCUCUCUUCCCUAAUCAGAGGAGGCAGGGAGGCCUGUUAAAGGAAAAUGUCUGACAAUGAUUUCGAGGAGAAAGUGAUACUGGAGGCAAAUGAUGGUGGGAAAUGAUGUGUGCUGAUGGAACGUUCAUAAUUCCUGGCUCAUUAGUAUGCCAGUGUUAAUCUUGUUUUAAUCACUGCGAAGGCCACUAGCAGCCUCCUAAGAUAUAUUGAUUCUGUAAACUGGAGAGGAACCUGUCAAUCAGGAGGGGGUCCCUGGGGGUCUCCACACACAGUCCAGGGAAGAUGUUUGCUCCAGAAUUCUCCACCCCAGUCACGGGCUUGAAUUAUGAGCCCUGCUCUUGUUAGAGCCAUUCUGCCCAUUGGGAACGAGAAUGGGUUUGCACUUAGAGCUCCUGUAAGUUCUCCCGGGCCCCGGGGCACUGGAGUGGGACACCUCUUGCAUUGUGCAUGAGGGCUGAAAUUCACUUAGUGACUGUGUGCAGAAAGGUGGUAAGACGUGGUGAUGAAGAGCCAGCACUUAGAGGGAGCCCCGGGUGAGAGGCUCCUUCCCCCACGGGCUCUCAGAGCGUUCCUAGUGCGCACUGGCCCAGGGCAGUGCUGGUGGCUGGGGUGGUGUGCGCACACCCUCCUUUAGGGCUUCGCUCUGUAAGUUUCAGGCCAGCCCUGGUAAGGUGGGAGUGUGACAGCCCCCCAGGGUUAUGGCAAAAUGAACCUCCCGUCCGGGGUUCAGUUCCUGUGAGGCGCAGGCAUCCGGUUGGCAUGGUGUUGACUGGCACCAUGCCAAUGCUGUUGAAGCCCACAGACAGUGAGUGACCCCAGGAAUGAGGUCCCCUGUGUUGGGUGACUUGGUUUGCUGUCACAAAGCAGGUAUCUGCUGGGGAGCUGUGGGCAGCUUGGACGGGGCUGGUCUCCACAGGGAGCGCUGGUCAUUUCUGCAGCUGCGGGGUGGUCCUGCCAGGCGGCUUUGUUCUUCCGGCUUCAUCUGCGCUCCAUCGGAACCCUGUUUAUCCCAGUUUGCCUGCAGCGUGACUAAUUGUCUUGUUCUCAGCUAUUAUGCCCAUCUGUACAGAUCUUCGCUAUCAGAGCCUUGGGUCUCAUUUAUUAUUACUACUUUAAAUGCAUAUUAUGGUGGCAAGAAAAUUUGACGCGAGUCCCGCCCUUUCCAGAAACUUAAGUGUGCAAGAUUGUACUGUCCCUGGCAGGCCUGAUGGAGCCCUGCAGCCCUGGUUCCUCUUGCAUAACUGAAAUUUCAGGCCUGUUGAGUAGCAGCUCCCCACCCUCCUCCGGCCCCUGCCAAUCACUCACUCUGCUUCUGAGCUUCACUGUUUUAGAUGCUGACUCCGACGCUGGCUGGCUCCGCUCACCUACAUCCUGUCCUCCAGGUGCCCAUCCCAGUCUAGCACAGACAGGAUUCUCCUUCUUCUCUCCUCUUCCUCCUCUUCCUCUCCCUCCUCUUCUCCUUCUCCCUCCCACUUUUCCCUCUCCCCCUCCCUCUUCCUUCCCCCUCAUUCUUUUCCUUCUUCUUUCGCUCCCUUCUCUUCUUCCUCUUCCCCUUCCCUCCCUCUCCCCUCCUCCUCCUUCUUCCUUUAAAAGAAAAGCUGAGUAAGGUUGUGUUGUGUGUAACACCACAUUUUCUUCUUCUAUUUAUCCACCAGUGGAUUCUUAGGUUGCUUUCGUGUCUUGGCUAUUGUGAAUAGUGCUGCAAUGAACAUAGGAUCCUGAUUUCAAUUCUUUUGGAUAAAUAAGUGGUGUUGGCAGUUCUAUUAUAACUUUUUUGAGGAACCUCCAUAAUGUUUUCUUUUGCUACUGAACCCAGGGUGCUUUACCACUGAGUUACAUCUUAGCCCUUUUUAUUUUUUAUUUUGAGACAGGGUCUCACUAAGUUGUUGAGCCUUGCUAAGUUGCUGAGGCUGGCCUUGAACUUGUGAUGCUCCUGUCUCAGCCUCCCAAGUCACUGGGAUUACAGGUGUGCGCCAUGCCACCUGGCAAUCCACUCUUUUCAAUAAUGGCUGCAUCAUUUCUAUCACCAGCACACAGUUCAGAUAUUGCCACACCCUUGCUCUCAUUUACCUUUUGCUUUAUUUUUUUGGUAGUAACCCAGGGGUGCUUUGCCAUUGAGCCACAUCCCCAGCUCUUUUUAUUCCUUUUUUUAAAUUGUAGAUGGACACAAGAUCUUUAUUUUUGUUUGUAUUUUUAUGUGGUGCUGAGGAUUGAACCCAGGGCCUCAUGCAUUCGAGGCAAGCGCUCUACUACUGAGCCACAACCCCAGCCUUUUUUUAUUCUUUAUUUUGAGACAGGGUCUUGCUAAGUUGCUUAGGACCUUGAUAAAUUGCUGAGGCUGGCUAUGAACUUGCUCCUCCUGCCUCAGCCUUAUUUAUUAUUAUUAUUAUUACUAUUAUUUUUUAUAAUAACACUCUUAGCAAGUGUUAUGCAUCUUUAUGCAUCUUGUUGUGACUUUGAUUUGCAUUUCCCUGAUGAUUAGUGUUGCUAAGCAUCUUUUCAUAUACCUAUUGGCUAUUUGUAUAUCUUCUCUGGAGAAAUAUCUAUUGAAAUCCUUUGCCUAUUUUUAAAUAAUGUUAUUUGCCUCUUUUCUAUUGAGUUGCAGGGGUUCCUGAUAUACUGGGGUGUUAAUCCUUUAUCAAAUAUAUAGUUUGCAAAUAUUUUUUUCCAUUCCAUAGAUUACCCUUUUCAAUCUGUUUCCUUGUUCUGUAGGAACAUUUUAUUUUUCUUUUUAAAAAAUAUUUUUAGAUGUACAUGGACAUGAUAUCUUUAUUUUUUAUUUUUUAAUGUGGUACUAAGAAUCAAACCCAGUGCUUCACACGUGCUAGGCAAGUGCUCUACCCCUAAGCCACAACCCCAGCCCCUGUAGGAGCAUUUUACAUUCCAAAGAGUUAGCCGGGAGGCUGAGGCAGGAAGAUUGGGAGUUCAAAGCUAGACUCAGCAACCUGAGCAACUUAGCAAGACCCUGUUUCAAAACAAAACAAAACAAACAAACAAAAAAAAAACAAAGAGUUUGGGAAUGUGGCUCAGUGGUUAAGCUCCCCUGGAUUCAAUCUCCAGUACUAAAACAAAAGAAUGAAGUUGGAGCCUGUUACGAGCCGAGAUGUUCAUGGGUGGCAUGUGGGUCACCGUGCAUGGAAGCCUCGUGGGUAGAGACAUCUAGUGUCUGAGAAUAACCAGUGGAAAUUUCCUCUGGUCAAUUGCCCAGGGACAAUGUGAAUCUCUUUCCUGCUCUGCCAUGGCCCAUACAGUACCUGAGAUGGGUGUGACCUGCCAAGGCAUCAAUAAACCUGCUGACUACAAGAUAUCAGGAAGCAAGACUCUGCCUUUGAAACCUUACCCCUGCCUUUGAUGUACCCCCUUAAAUAAACCACCGAAGCCAUUUUCUCUUUGUCUAGUUCCAGAACCCAUGUUCUUUGCAUUAUGUAAAUAUAUUUCUGAGUGUCUGUGUUUUGUUACUUAUUAAUUAUCUGAGAUUGUAAGUUUUAGGAGGCUGGGAUUCACCUGGGCAGGAAGAACCCUGCAAAGAGACGCUGGCUCCGUCGUCCCCUUGAAAGGCAACUUUGUCUAUACCUCAGACAGAGAUCAACUCAAAAUCAUUUAAAGACUCAAAUGUUUUUCCUGAAACUAAAAAACUUCCAGGAGAAGACGUAGGAGAAGAGUGACAUUGAUCUUGGCCAUGAUUUCCAGGGUAUGACCCCAAAAGCACCAUCAGCAAAAGUGAGAAUGAGCAGUGGGCUUCGUCAGAACCUUGGGGUUCAUUUAACCAGCGCGCGGUUCUCUUUCUGGGGAGAAUUGAAACCAGGCCUCUCACGACUCCCCUCAGCCCUGUCCUCGCCUGGGCUCUGGCCUUGCCAGGUGCCCACCUUCCGCCUGCGCUUCUCCCUGGACUCUGAUCCAGGUUGGCCCCACUUGCCCUUCAGACUCGUUUUAAAGCCUUCCCAUAGCCAGGUCCCCACCCGGCUCUCCGGUGGCCUCUGUCACUGUCCCCUCAUUGCCUUCAUCACUCUCGAGUUAUUUUGCUCACUGUCUCUUUUCUUUGCUAGAAGUAAAAUUCCACAGAUGCACCUCCAGGUCCACCUGCAGCAUGCCCGGUGCCAUUCCACCUGGAGACACGGAGGGCAGGCGGGAGGCUGCAGAUCCCCACAAUUGUCGUCCCUGUUUGAUCCCUGGAUCCUGAGGAGCUGGACAGGAGCCCCAGGUCCUGCAUUCCUUGGGAGCCGCUGGUCCUUGGGCAGCCCCCCCAGGGCCUCUGCUGUCCUUCUGCAUCACCGAGGACAGCCAGGCGCUCUCCCUUUAGAAAUGCUCUCUCAGGACCCCUGAGCCUUGCCGCCAGCCUCAGUUCUGAUCCCUAGAGCUGCCGAGAGCAAGACCUGCCCAGGAUGGCUCUCCAGCCACCGAGGCUGUCUCUCAGAUUCUGAGGAGGCAGCUCUUCUCAGGACGGGCCCCAGGCUCCUAAACAUUGUCCUGUGGCAUGCUUUCUAGUUGUCUGGCUGUCAUCUCCUUAUAUCAGGGUCCCCAGGAACCUGGGAGGUUCCAGGAGUCUUUCAGGGUGUCUGUGAAACCCUGAUAUUGUCUGUGACCUUCUUAGCAGGUGUGUGGUUUGGGGGUGGGCAGAGGAUCUGGAGGCUUCCUGGCUGCUCUCAAAUGGGAUCCGGGCUGUGCCCGGGAGCUCUGGGCUGUCCCAGGCCAGGCUUGCCUUCCACAGGGAUGCCUUCUCCUUAACAAUGACCACUUACUAUGAGUGGCCCUGUCUUAAUGACACUCUGUCACAUUCGGCCUUUCCCGGGGUCCUUGCCACUCCCUCGGGGUGCUCAAUUCUGUGAGUCAGAAGUCAGGUUCCCGGGGUGUCUGGGUAUGUCCUGGAGCCGCGUCCUUAGGUGUGCAGGUUCAGCACGGAGGCACCUUCCCGGCCUGCUUUGCGUCACUAGGAGGUGAGUUUACUGUCAACAAAGCAGUUUCCUCCAUUAACACGGCUCCGCUGUUUUCUUUUGGUAAAUAUUUGCUGCUGUUUCCUCCCAUCAGUUUAUUUUAAAGAUGAAGCUUUAUGUUUAAGUAUGUUUCUUGGAAACAGCAGAAGCCUGUUCUUAAAAAAAUUCUAUUCGACGACUUCUGUCUUUCACCUAGCAAGUUUAGUUCAUUUAUAUUUAUUGUAAUUGUUGAUAACUUACAUUUAUUUCCUACCAUCUUAUUUGGUACAUAUUUGGUACUGCCUUUUGGAAACUCAUUUCCAUUCUCUGUUACUUUGAAGGUUAUAAAUUGUAUUUCUCUUUCUUAGCUCUUUGAAAAUUGCUUAAUUGCUAGUGGAUUUCUUUAAAAUUCUAACAUAUGUAUACAUAUAUAUUUUUUCUAACAUAUAUAUUUAAUUUCUGAAGUUAUGCAAUUUUUCUGUCCUUCUCUCAUCUUGUCUAAAAUACAAGAAUUUUAGAAUGCUUUUUACUAUAAUUACCUAGUCCCAUUUUAAGCUAUUUUUUAGCCAGUUUUUUGGUUCCUUUUUAUUACUCCUCAAGUGAGUUAUGGUUGCUUCAUUUAGUCCGAGCUUAUUUAGCCUGUUGGCCUAUUUCCUUUCUUUGCUAAUCUGGAGCCUUUCUUCUGGGUUCCACCUUCUUCUCUUUGAAGACUUCCUUUAGAACUUCCUCUACCGAGGACCUGUUGGUAAGUUCACUUAGCUUCUACUUCCCUGUAGGUAACUUCAUUUCCCGUCAUUCUCAAGGGAUGAUUUCACCAGUUGUACAGUCCUACUUUUUUUUUUAAUAUUUGUUUUUUAGUUAUCGGUGGACACAACAUCUUUGUAUGUGGUGCUGAGGAUCGAACCCGGGCCGCACGCAUGCCAGGCGAGCGCGCUACCGCUUGAGCCACAUCCCCAGCCCCUGUACAGUCCUACUUUGACGAUGAUUUUUAUUUAGAGUUUUGAAACCAAUAUCACGUCAUGUUCUGGCUGAUGCCGCUGUACAUCAUCUGCCUGCCUCACACCAAGGGGAAGUCCCCUCCCUGUUGCUGUCCACAGUGUCCCUCCAGCUUUGGGAUCUUGCUUUUGACCGCAUCUUGAGUCUCAGGACUCUCCCUGGCCCUUGGCAGGUGGAUUCUCCUUUGCUUUCUGCAUUUUCUUAUUUUGUGCAGAACCUGCCAGAUGCAUGUGAGCUGGUCCCUCUGAUCCUAGCCGCUGCCUCUCACCUUCCCAUCGCCCCCCAGUCGCUGUCUGUGGCUCGCCCUGCACAUCUUUGGCUGCACCUCCAGCCCACUCUCCCCACCCCACCAGCUCAUUUCUGCUUUACUCAUCCAUUGAAUUUUUAUUUUUAGUCAUAUUUCUUCCUCCAAAAAAUUUUUGAUUUUGUUUCUUAUUUAUUCUUUUUCUUCUGUGUUUUGUUUGUUUGUGUUUUGAAUUUUAAAUGUUUUAAAUGUAUUUUAAAUGUUUUAAAACUUAAUUUGUAUGCUGCACCCACUCCUUCCACUCCCUGGAAACCCUGCUGGCUGGUGCCUGGUUCUCGAGCCCAUGAUGGAUCCUCUGGGGAGCACUGGGUGGAGAGGCAGCACAGGUUAGGGGUUCAGAGAGCAGACUGGGACCAGACUUCCUGGGUCUGAAACUCACCUCUUUUCGUUUGCUGUGUAUUCUUGAGGAAGUUUCUUUUUCUCUUCAUGUCUUCAUUCUUUCCCAUUCUGAAUCCAGGGAUAGGAAUGAUACUAACAACAAUAAUAAUGAGAAUAAGAAUACCUAUCAUUAUGGGGUAUGGUGCACAUGUCUAUAAUCCCAGCAGCUUGGGAGGCUGAGACAGGAGGAUUGCAAGUUUAAAGCCAGCCUCAGCAACUGAGAGACACGCUAAGCAACUUAGUGAGACCCUGUUUCAAAACAAAACACAAAAAGGGCUGGGGAUGUAGCUCAGUGGUAAAGUGCCCCUAGCUUAAAUUUCCAGUAGCCAAAACAACAAACAAACAAACAAACAAAAACCUACCAUUAAGAGAAUGUUGUGAGGAUCAAGUGGGACAGUACCUGUAAAGGAUUUAAAAUGGAAUUUGGUGUGUGUCAAUCCUUAAUGAGGCUAAUCUUUUAUUGACUUGGCUUCUCCCAACCCCGCACCCCCACUGGUACAUGGGAUUGAACCCUGGCUACAUCCCUAACCCUUUUUAUUUUUUAUUUUGAGACAGGGUCUUGUAAGUUGCUGAGGCUGGCCUCAAACUUACCAUCCUCCUGCCUCAGGCUCCUGAGUCACUGGGAUUACAGGUGUGUGCCACCAUGCCAGCAACAUGACUAGACUUUUUCUUAGAAAUCCUAUAUACCUUGGAUUGAGAAUAUGUUGCUUGUAAGAGAAUUUACAUUUGCUUUUGCCAAGAACCUGGGAGACUAUGAAUCUAAGACCACUAAUUUCUUGUCUUUGGUUUCCCAAACCAUAUAGUUGGUGUCCAUUCAACUCCAAACUCAACAAAGGCGGGUGUGUGAUGUGGAUUCUCUGGGGAGACUCUCGUAAUCAUUUAGAACCUAGGAGUUGAGAACAAGCAUCCCCUAUCUUCUCUUUUUGUUACUUUUUUGUCUUACAUAAUCCUAUCACCGAGGGUAUGGCCUCUGUAUUAGUCUGUUUUCCACUGCUAUAAUUAAAUACUCGAGGCUGGGUAUUUUAUUGAUAAAAGCGGUUAAUUUGGCUUUAAACAUUUUGGAGGUUCAAAGUCUGAACAUCAGGGUGCUAGGUCUUGUUAGGACCCAGCUGGCUGUAUCACAUCAGGGUCGAUGGCUUCAUGGUAGCAAUGUGUGUGAGAGGGAGCGAUCACAUGGUAAGACAGAAAGCCAGAGACCAGGCAGGGUCAGGUUUGCUUUUUUUUUUUUUUUUAAGAUGGCGUGCUGCUAUGUUUCCCAGGUGGGUCCUGAUAUCCUGGGCCCAACUGAUCCUCCUGCCUCAACCUCCCAGGUAGCUGGACCUACAGGUGCUCACCACCAUGUCCAGCUCUGGCUGACUCUUUUACAACAACCCUCUCAUGAGAACUAAGUAGGCCAUGGGCAAACUCCUUUAAUCUGUCUGAAGGCAGAGUCCCCAUGACCAAGUGACCUCCUGCUAUGGUCUGCCUCUUCAAGAUCUCCCCAGCUCUUAACAAGGCCACACUGGGGACCAAGCUUCCGGGGAAAAGUCUCAUCUGAACCACAGCAGCCCCGAGGGUCCUACACGUGUAGGGAGUCUGGUUUCUAAGGCUCUCCCUGUAUGACCCAAGGUCUUGUGUCUCGUUUGUGCUGGAAGGAAACUAAGCUUCUUUGCUCCUGAGCCUGGCAAGUGUCCCCACAGGCAGCAGCUUGAGUUUCAGCUUCCUCUUGCUCAGCCCUGGGCUGUCUCGCUGAUCCCCUGCUCAGCUGUGCAGUUAACAGGGAUCACGGUUUAUUACGCAGCAUUUUUAGGUGUUCUCUGGCAACAGGACUUUCAGAUUAUUAGAAGUGAAGCAUCCAGACAGGUGUUCUGACCUACUCCAACCCAUGCAUCUGGGACAGAACAGGCCCCAGGCCCCUUCUGCUGUACCGAGCUGAAACCUGGGGCACAAGCACGCUCCAUCAGGCCUUUUGAAAUGCCAGGUCUACUCUCAGGCCCCACCAGCAUCUCCGUGGGCCCGAGGAUUCUUGGGGACUUAGACUGGGCAGUAUGAUUUGGAGCUGGCUUUCCAGGUGACAUCAGCCUCCUCUACUGUCACAUCCAGAACAUCAGUUGCCAGCUAUGGAGUCUUCUCCUUUUCUUCCUUCUCCUUCCUCUCCCUCCUUCCCACUCCUCCUCCUUCUGUUUAUGCAAAGAAUUGUGAAAAGAUGAGAACCAUUUUAUUGCUAAGAUGAAGACAGGUUGUCACCCUGAUAGCUCGUCCCAGUGAGAUUUGGUCAGUCCUUGGGGUGACCAGACUCGUCCCAGAAAUUAGUGUUUUAUUUCCCCACUAAUCAUUUAAAUAUUAUUCCAACUGGAAUUUUGCUUAAAAUUGGUCAGUCUUGUUGGUUUGCUUCUAGAAUUCCCACGCUUGCAACUUGGGGUGGUAUUUCCUGUCUUCAGACCACUGGCCUCUUUCUGGUUCCCUGGACCCCCUGGUCCUGCACUGGCCUUGCUGUGAGGUGCUCAAGUUCCUUCACUUGCUUGCUCCGGAGUCGUCCAGUUCCGAAAGUGUAAAUAGUGAAAGUGUCCAGGAAGUUCUUGCCCCUCUUUCUUAGGAGAUUGAAAUCCUCGGGAUACGAAAAAUCCAGUGAUGAAAUUUGCAGAUUAAAGCUGCAGCGGUAUCAGUGGAUCAGCUGGCGAAGGCUGAGGGUUCAGCUAGUCAGAACACCAAGCCCUCCCAGUGGAGCAAGUAGGCUCCAGCAGAAGCCUCCCGACCAGCAAAGGGGAGGCAGAGGGUCCUGGGAGUGGUUUACUCCUCCCUUUCACGGACCACAGGCUGGACACUCAAAUCCCACAGCCACCCAAAGUAUCAGACAUUGUAGUGCUGCCUGGGUAGGGACAGUGACAGCUGCUUCUAACAAGUUUUGUAACCUGUGCAAGUUAGUUAUUCAUUUGACAUAGUUAUCAAUCUUUUAAAAGUAUCUUAUCUCAUUUUUACUCUUUGCUAUACGCAAAGUGCCCUGUCUGGUCUAGUUUUGUCACAUGUAAAGCGAGGAGAAGGGUUGGGCUAAAUGGCACCUUCUCUCCCUGAGUUACUGUGAGUCCAGCUUUAAAGAUGUGAAAUAACCAGGACUGGACACAGAGGGGCACGGUCAGCAGGAGGCCCAAUUUGUCCUCAUGCAGGGGCUCUGUGGAGGUGAGUAGGGCUCCUUACCGAUCUCCCUGAGGCAGUAACAUCGGGUUCACAGAAGGCACAACUCGAUCUGGGCUUAAGCUAAAUGGCAAAGGUGGGAGUAGAGGCUUCAAGUUCAAGUUGGAGGUGCUGAGGAGAAAAGCACUGCGCACUUCAUGGGGAAUGGCCUCCGGGUCGCAUCCACGGUUCAAGCCAAACAAGAAGGCAUCAGGGAGGCAAGCCAGUGUGGCCACAGUCCCUGGACCAGGGCCCUCGUUCAGACGCAUUUCCACGUUAAGAGUCUGGGGAAGAUCUGACUGGAUCUUAGACACAUUUUAAAUCACAUGACAACGUGUUUGACCAUGGUGUGGGUCCCGUGAAAGGCUGCCCCACAGCUUGUGUUGAUUUCCAGUCUGGAGCCCACAUGUGUGCCCUUCCUUCUGGACUUCCGCCACCCUCCUGUGGGUAGCCACCCUGCUGCAUGAAUCAGCGCAAUCCAUGGCUCUGUCGUCAUGCCCUUGUUAGCUGUGUUUGGUUUCUAUCCUGCAUGGGCUCAGGGACCACAAAGCCAUUGACAUCGCCACUGUUCUGUCAGUGUUGAGACUCGUGCCCACUUUUUUUUUUUUGUAUGAAAGUUACAUUUCAAUAUUGGGUGCUAUCCAGUGUAACUUGAGUCUAUUUUCUUAGAAUAUACAAUGGUGAAAUGACCUUCCAAAGGUUUGCUCAAAAUAUGGAAUGCUUCUCGAAUUUGCGGGUCACCCUUGCACAGGGGCCAUGGCAAUCUUCGCUGUAUGGUUCCAAUUUUAGUGUCUGUGCUGCCAAGAGCAAGCGAGCACUCCUGCCCACUCUUCUGACUGUGAAGGUGCCGUGGUGAUGGGUUGCCAGGACAGGAAGCCCCUCCCAGCGCAGUGUGGCUGCUGAUUUGUGAACUGGGAACGCCACCUUUGUCCUUCCCCUCUGCAGUGCUCCCUCAGCCUUCGGAGGAGCCCAUAAAAUUGUCACAAAUGCACAGCAAGAUUCUGGCACAGCAGAGACUGUAACACAAAAAUAUUUCUUUUAAUAUUUUAGCUGGGAAUGCGGGCAGCUGUGAGAGGCAGAUGCCAAACUCCGCGCCGAGUGACUGACAAUCUGCAGCGCGUUGCCUCCGUCCCUGGGGAGAGCUGCCCGCGGGGAUGUGUUUGCAGACUGCGGAGCUCGCGAGGCUCCGGUGUCUCUGAGGCAGCGGUCCUUUCUGGGCUUGUGGUGGUGGCUUCACUGGCUGGGAGGGACACAGGGCUGCCAGGCCUCUGCGGAGCCGCGCUGUUCUGUGCGGUGGGAGCGCUGCGCCCUGGUCCUGGUCUCUGUCCCCCGAGGCACGUUCAUCCCUCUCCGCACAGCGCCUUGGCCUCCUCGGCCCUCUGUCCCCAGUGUCCCUGCGCCAUGGACUGAGCUCAGCCCCAGCGCCUCCGUGUGGGGCGUGGACCUUCCUCGUGGCCUCUGCCCUCUCCACCUGCUGCGGUUCCACGGUGUUUCCCAGACCCCACGUGCUGGGAACUGAGUCCCCAGCUGACAGUGCUGAGGGGGGCCCUCAGGAGGCGCCAGGUGGUGGGGGCUCUGGCCUCAGGAGGGGUCCGUGGUCACAGUGAGAGCUGUGUUCUACGGGGGAUCCCGGCUUUCUCUUCUCCUGUUGCCUCGCGAGGCCCCGGGCCCUGUUACCGCUCAGCUCCAGAGUCUCCGUCUGGGCCUUCCCAGAACGUGGCCGCCAACUUCUAUUUGAGUUUCCCGGGCUGUGCUGUCUGUCACAGCAGCAGAAGACAGACUGAGGCGCCCCCCCAGCCACACAGCGUUGUCACUCCAGAUGCCAGGAGUGUCUGCGUGUCCUCUUCCCUCGGGGUCUCUGGGGAGCCUUCCUGUCCCCCCUUCCCUCUGGGUUUGAGUCCCUUUCCCUGGACUCCCCCUGAAGCCCCCGCUUCCUCUCCCACACCUGUCACUCUGUGUCAUAGACACUUGCUCGUCCGCCUUUCUCCUCGGCUGUGUUUGGGCUCCUCGAGGGCAGGAACCCGACCCCCGUGUGCCCUUGACACCUAGCAUGACGCACAGCAGAGGCCCAACAAAUGGCUCUUGCAUGAAGAAAUGGACAGACAAUGGAUACCAGCCAAGGGCUGGCCAGACCAGGGUUGCAGACCGGGAGCGUCACCUGACGGGGAGGGUGUGACCGCAGGAGCGGUUCUGUCUGCUCCUGAACGGAAUCCAGGUGCCUACUCAGGGUAGUUUCUGGAACUUUCUGGAGUGUGCGCCCUCACUCCGGAGGCUGAAGGGAGGCUCUGAUCUGGAGGCCUUAUGUGUGUGCUCUUAGAUUUCCAGUGACCUGCCUGCAUGGCCUGUGUCCCCACAAAGGGUGAGUUAAUGAUGCAGCCUUGGUCCCCAGGGAAGUCACUUGGAGACAGAGUCAUGUUGGGAGUCGUUUGGUGGUGGGUGGAGAGUUGUUCUGCUGGAGGUGAGCGGGAAAGCCAGUGGAUAGGGUGGAGAGCCCUGUCCUUCCAGGACUGGACAGCCCCUCCAAUGACAUGCUCCAGCCUUCACACCUGUGUCGGCCUCAUUGGGUGUAGGCUGCCCUGGGAAGGGACAGUAUUAUGGGUCAAAUUAUAUCCCCCCAAGAAGACAUAUUCACGUCCUAACCCAGAACUUGUGAAUGUGGAGGGGGCUCUGCAGAGGUCAGCACUGGGGCUAUCUCUGUGCAGCUGGUGACUGUUUUCAAGAGCAGUGGACUUGCCGUGAGUUUGGGAUGGCAGAUGGGGUCGUCCCAUGUGCACUCUCUGAACCAGGCACCUCAAGCUCAUCAGUGCACAUUUGUUUUAUUCUUGGUUUCUUUAAAUGCGGUAGAUUAGACCCAGGAAUCAGAUUGGUAUGCCGGAAGGGACGAGGUCUUCACUGAAUUGAGAGCCUGGCCAUUGAUGACUACGGGGUCAUCAUAGGACCCCAUGGGGGCAUCCGCUGGAACUCCAAUUUCUAAGUCAAGCAGUGGGUGACAGGUGCAGUGAGUGAGUUGCCCCCUGCCCCAGCUGCCCUCCCCAGGCUGUGGAUACGCCUGAUCCCUCCUUGAGUUGGGACACCGGAGUCUCCUCCUGGGAACCCCUAACGGGCUGCCUGCUCCUGCCCUCCCCAGGGCUGCCUGGCCUCAGGCACUGGUCGCUGUACUCAGGAGGGCAAGAGGCUGCUAGUGCGGCUGCGCUCACCUCUGGCAGGGCUGGUCUCCAGGGCCCGUGACUGACUGCUCACCAGUCUCCUCCCUGUGCCUCUGGGCCGUGGCAGGACUCUUCUUGCACACAGUGGGGAGGCAGAGGCCUCUGUCCUCACCAGUGGCAGCACUAGUCCCCUCCACACAGCUCAGCACAGGGCCAACAGCCUGGGGGACAGCAGGCCACUCGGGUCCCCAUGAGGGUGCAGGACAGGUGUGCGGUGGCCCCCCCUUUGCCCAGGUUCCUUCAGCGUCUGUCUCACAGACAGGUCCCAGGACUCUGCCCCGCAGCCUUGCUUCUAGGGAGGAGCAGAGCCGAGAGCUUUAGAGAGAACCUUCUCUGGCCUUCCUUCAUUCUUCAACUUCCGUGGAGCCUCUGUGAGUGGCUUGAGGCCACCGAAUUCCACGUCGCGCCCGAUGGCAAGUGGGAGGAGGCCUCUGUCCCUCCUGAGGUUGCUUCAGUGCCAUGCUACACACGGUUGGCAUCAAGACCUCCUCUCCCUGCCCCCCUCCUCUCCCUGCCCCCUCUGGGGGGAGUGGCUGGCCUCCAGGUGUGAGGCUGGCCUCCCCUGGGUGGGCCAGGCUGCUAGGGGCCAAGGUCCAUCUCAUCCUGCACCUGGGUUUGUGGCAGAAUUCGUGUCUGCAGUCGGUGGAGCUCAGCCACCCUCCCUGGUAGAUUCCUGGGGCCCUGCAGGUGCCCUGGGGUCUGACUGGAUGUCCACUGGUCUUGGCUUUGGGGUCACUUCACCUUCACUGAAGUGGCUUAUUCUAACUCCCCAAGCCAGGCUUUCAAUUGACCCCGACUAUCACUAAACCCAGGGGUCCCCUCUGUGUCCUGUGAGGCCAAGCAGGGGUCACAGAGCCCCCACUUUUCUGACUAUUUUGGCCCAGGAGGGGGUGGGGUGGGGUCCCAGGAUUGUGGGAUAGGGUUCCCUGGGUUGGGGUGGACAGCAGAGCAGGAGACCUUCUCUGGGAGUCCCCAGUAGGAUCAGGGUGGGGGACUGCUCUCCAGAGCAGGUGGCCUUCUCUGGGAGUCCCCAGUAGGAUCAGGGUGGGGUCUGCUCUCGACUUUCCCCAGCUCCUCCCUUUAGCCUCCUGGUGUGGAGGCCCUGGCCCUGCCUGUGCCGCCUGCCUCUGUCCCCUCCUUCCUUGCCGCCCACCUAACUGAAGACUCGAGCUGUCAGUGAUUCCCCCGGUUCUGAGAUUCUCUCUCCUCCACAUCUUCUGCUUCCGGAAGUGGGUGUCCCUAGGCCCAGCCGAGGCUCCCGGGCAGCGUGGAUGACUUCGGGAGCUGCUCCUGGGGCCUCCACACCCCCUGGGCCCUGCUGUCUGCUCCACUGUCAGUGGUCAGCGAGGAAGCCCAGAAUGGUGUAAGGUAUAGGGUCACUGGGUGGCACUGACCGAAGGCUGACUCCAACCCUCUAGAAAACCCACUCUCCCAGCGCAGCCCUGGGAGGAGCCUCCUGCCAAGCCCUGAACAGUGUGAGUUUCCCGGGGCUGACCGGAGGUGAAGCUCGCCACCCUCAUUGUGAACCAGUCUGAGGGUGGGUCCAGCAGUGUUCUCCUGACAGGCAGGCAGGUCGCUGUGCCUGCUGGUCGGGGACAGAGAGGCGUUCGGGAGAGCCCCGUGGGUGCGUGAGAGAGGUCACUGCAGAGGAGGGGAUGGGUGGGCAGAGCCAGGCUUCUCAUGUUUCCAGAAUGGUGUGGCCAGGGAGUCAGACCUUGGCUGCAAGGGAGCUCUGGCCAGAGCCGUAGAUGAAGAGUAGAGGAGUAGUGUGGGCGGAGGUCACGGACACUCUGAGGAAGGGGUCAUCUGGGCCCUCUGGAGUCCCCUGGCUUCUGGCUUUUGUAGCAUGGAUGUUUGUCCCUGGGAAGGCGCGGCACAUUUUUUGAGCGGUGCUGGAUGUUGCUGGAGCCAAGCAGGGUCCUCCUGUGUUUCAGAAGAGAACCUUCUGGAAUCUUCCUUGAAGUCCUUCUAUGAAAAGGCACGGCCCCGAGCGGGUGGAGGGAAGGACUUGGGACAGAUUGCAGAGCUGGCUUCAUGGGGCACUUGGCCAGCGGGUCCAAUGCUUGUCACCAUUCCUGUCCAAGCACUGGCCAGGGGAGAGCAGCAGAGUUCGGUGAGGCAGGGAUUGUGGGCCUCUGCGUGCCCUCGAACAGCAGAAAGGAUGGACCAGGCUUGAGGUUGACCUCUACUGGCUCGUGCGAACUGGUAACCCACUGGCUGGAUACAGAGUGGGAGGGAGCCCGAUAAACCUGUCUCCCGAGCUCUGAGACCUGCGACACCUGUCACUCCAACGGCCACCUGCCACCAACAUUGUCCCAGCCCACUUGGCAGGGAGCUGGUGACUGCUUAUGACCCUGCAGCUGGACCUCAGACAUGGGGUGCAGGGUUUGAGGCCAGGCCCCCCGACAGGAAGGUGACCUGUGAGACAGGAGAGAGGCAUGCUGUGAGCCGGGAAAUCCCAAAAGCACCGAGUGCCUCUCAUUAGUUACCCUGUUUCCCCACACGCUCUGUUUAUUUGACAAAUAUUUAUUGAGCACCUGCUGUUUGCUGAGCUGGAAGGAUAGAUAAAAGUUCCUCAAGGAUUUCUCACGCGCUUCUCAGUCACAUGAGAAAUGGCUUCUCUGGGGUCCCCGGCUGGAGCCCUGGGUGGCGAGCUUGGCCAUUCUCCUCGGGGAGGGGGAGGCGAGGACCCGGGCGGGGGCUCCGGCUCCCACCCUUCCCACAUGCUUUCUCUUCCUGUGGGAUCUGGCCUCGUGGGCUGCGGUCCCUGGGUGCUGGCUUCUGUCCUGGCCACGUACAUUAAAUGUAACAUGAUGACAUAAUUAUGGAAAUGGAGAACACCCGAGUUUACUUAACCUACUGCUCUCCUCAGACAAGCCCAGAACACACUGUAAUAAUUUGUCACCCAUUUUUCUGAGGUAGGACGGGCUGACUCUUAAUUACAAGCCACGGCGAGAGAUGAGCAAAUAAAUAUGCAUGUUAGUCUGAAUGCUAUAAUUAGAACUACCAUUUGGCUAAAGAAAAGUAGAGACGUGUUAAUUCCAGGCCUCUGCUUGCAUGUUAAGUCGCUGCUAGGGAACAAUCUGUGUUAACACGUUAAGCCCUGAUGAGGCAGGAAUGUCUGGAGAUUUUUUUUGUAAGCAGAGCUGAGACACACUUUCUAUUCCACUAGAUAUUCCAAUUCAGUGUUUAUUUCCUGGAGUCCGAGUUAACAUGAUAAUUAGUGUUUUUGACGUAUCUGACAGCUACUCAGAAGGGUGAUUUUGCAUGAAGUUUCCAACGGUACCUGUGUACCAGGUUGGCACCAUGUGCUGGAACCGGUGGGGUGGCCGGUGGUGGGUGGACAUGGAAUCUACUCAUGCCUUUGACAAAUAAUGGGACACACAUGUCUGUUAUUUCUGAUGAAGUCAAGAAGUGCAUUUUCCGCAACGUCUUCACCAAUACCCUCCAACCCUAUUUUUGACCUGUUCAGUUAACAUUUCUGAGUGCAAUUUCUUCAUACACCAUCUCUUCAGUCGAGUGCUGGGUAAAACUGACCAGAACAAUCCAGAAACAGAGACCUACUCUCUCUCGCAGUGUCCCAGGCCAGCCGGCUGGUGGGUUCGCAAACUCUGGCUGACUGAGGGAAAUUGCCAGUGAAAGUGAGGAGAACCCAGAGACCGCCAUGCCUGAGAUUGGAUCCUCAAUAAACCCCUUUUGCUGUUGCAUGAGCCGGUCUCUUGGUGGUCUCUUCCUCCGACAUUCGCUGGACCCUUACACCAUCUGAAUGCGUCAUUCCCCUACCCUAAGGGCAUCCCCUUACUCGCAUGCUCUACCCAAAUGAUCCUUCUAAAACACAGGUUGAAUCACACACUCCCCUGCUCAAACCCUGCAGUGGUUCCAUCUCCUCAGUGACAUGAGACCCUGCGAGGCUCCCCCUGACCCAGGCCUGGCUUCCUCUCUGGUGCUAUGUCCUUCCCACCUCCCCCUUGUCCUCAUCUCAGGAAAACUGCUCUUCUUGCUGAUUGUUGAGUACCCCAGGCAACUCCUGUCCCAGGGCCUUUGUACAUGCUGUUCCCUCUGUUUGGGCACUCUUUCUCACACAUCCCCAAGGGUCCCUCACUUCAGGUCUCUGUCACAGUGUCACUUCAUCUGAGUCUUCCCCAUGGCACAGCUGAGACAGCACCUUCCUUCCCUUCUCCCCCUCACUUGCAUUUCUUGGCAGUUUUUACCUUCACCUGCUGACAUGCUGUGGGUACCGUGUGCUUAGGUGUUCACCUGUUUGUCAUUGAUCCUACGUGUCUCUAUCCGUGAGACGGUAAGCCCAGGAAAACAAACCGUUUGUGCAUGUACCACUUGGAGCUGUGCCCACCACACCAUGGACACUUGAUGAACAAAAAUUUGCUGAAGGCUGGUCCCAGGCUCAAGUUAGCCUCCCAGGUUCAGAGUUGAUGAGACACUGUCCCCUGUCCUGUUAUGCUCAAAUUCGGGACCCCCAAAAGACCACCAGAGACCCAAGAUCGAUGUAAGCAGCAAAGAGGUGUUCAUUGCGAGCUAGCUCGGUCCUCUGUGCGCACACAUAGCAACUGGUGACCCUGAGAGGCCCCGAGCCCAGGGUUUGCAGCAUUUUUAUACAUUUUUUGGAGAAGGCAGGGACUUCACAUACAUCAUAGCAUCUCUCAGCAAAUCAUCACACACCGCGAGAAAAUCAAAUAACAACUCUAAAACAUGAUUAGCACAUUCACUGGCGGGAACAAGUUGGGUAGGGGUGAUUGGUCAGUACAAAAGGGGUAUUCGUUUGAACUGAUUGGUUUAAGCCAAGAGGGGUGUUCCUGCUGAACUACAUGGUUUUCCAACACGUUAUCAACCACCAUAAACUACUGGGAGGGUCAUCUGGCAUCCCAGGUAUUUCCCUGUCUCAUGCUGAUUGGUGGCUGCUAGGGGGCUGCUAUAGAUCUCCACCUAGCCUGAGUCAGGGACACCUGGCACAGCAGAUCUCUCCUGUUAUUUGUAGAUAAACAACUUAGCAGGGUGGGAAUGUGCCUAGGAGUGCUCUGUGGGUUUUUCCAAGGACAAAGGCCAUGUCCCUUCCUUGGACAGGCUUUGCUCUGAGAUAGAGGCUGGUUUUUCAGUCCCUGAGGGCUCCAUCCAGCAUGGGAGAGACAUGUGUGGGGAAAACACAAACACUUUUGUGUCUCAGGGGACAGUGUUCCUGUUCAGGUCCAGCUCUGUCCAGGUCCGGCUCUGUAGCAGCGCAUGUCCGUGUUCGUUCUUUUGAGUGGACAGACAUUUCCAUGGUGUGGCGGGACUCUAGUUUGCUUAGCUAUUCGCGAGUAGUGAAAAUUCGGGGGUUCUGCUUUUGGGGUGUGGAGAACAGAGCUGAUGUGAACACCCAGGGAGGCUCUCAGCGGCAUUAGUCAGUGUGAAAACCCGACAGCGCUGAAUGUUGCCCGAGGCAGAUAGAAGAGAGAGUGAGGGAAGGCUGUUUGUGUGCAGGUAGAGAAAAUGGCUGCUUGUCACAGCCACUGCCAAUCAAGGAAAUUUUUGAGUCGGGUGGGAGAGUAAUUAAUCCAAAACCCAUCUGUACUUUUCUUGUCGACAAAACACAAUGUCUUGGGACUCCUAGGAAUGGCAUGAGUGAUGUACACUGUCAUUUCAUUCUGAGUGCUAAUAUUUACUUCUGCAGGACUUGGAUCUGUCCUUUAAAAGGCGGACAGUGUCGCAGGAAGUCCAGGGAGGAGAGUGGGAAUAUUAAAGUGGUAGCAGCUGUUGAAGGGCCAGCUUCUCAGUUCCACUCACCUGUGGUUAAAUGUACCACUGCCUGCUGUCUGACCCUGGCCAAUUACUUGCCGAUCUUUCUGAUCCUGUUUCCUCAUCAGUUAAAAUAAAAGUAAAUUUAAAAUGUAUGCUGCUGAUUGUUGCUGUGGGGAUUCGAAGAGAUGAGGGAGGGAUGUGAAUUAUUGAGUACCAUGGCAGGGACUUAGUAGGUGCCUCCCUAAACCUUGAUUCCCCAGCUUGCUGAGCAGGAUCACAGCAAGUGCAGUUCUCUAGCAACGACUUUAAAAAGCAGGUGGAGGGCUGGAGCUGGGGCUCAGUGGUAGAGCAUUGCCUAGCACAGGUGAGGCUCGGGGUUCGAUCCUCAGCACCACAUUAAAAAAAAUAAAGGUAUUGUGUCCAUCUACAACUAAUGUGUGUGUGUGUGUGUGUGUGUGUGUGUGUAUAUAUAUAUAUAUAGAGAGAGAGAGAGAGUAGUUGACGACUAACGGACAAAAGUCCUGUAUGUAAGGCUUUAUGAUGUAAGGUGAUGACAUCAAUGAGGAUGAUUUCUUGAAUUUGUCCAACUCCUUUGAAUGGUUGGUUGGGAGUAGGCAGCCGGGUCUGGGGAACCUGGGGGUGCAGGGCAGGAAGCAAGCCAAGCUGCAGUGCACAGGGAGGGAUGCUACCCCAAGGCCUUUGUUCCCCUCCCUCCCACCCCUGAGCCCCAAAGGACCCUGCUGUGCUCUGUCUUGGGCCUUUGGUUCUGUCCCCAGAGCUGCUGUUCCCUGGGGUCUGACCCCCGAGUCCACUCUGCUGGAAAACCGCUAGCCUGGGGCUCCUGCGUGGGUCGAGGCUUGUUUUAAGACCAACCCCAAGUCCUCCUGUGAGUUCUCCGUCACAGACUGGGGCGUCUCAGAGCUGCCGAUGCCCUGUGCUCCCGGGGCUCCUGGGGUGCUGUGCUCGGCUGAGCUCCCACUCCCCAGCUACCUCUGUCAGCAGCCGCGCAGUUUUGGCCCCGAAUGCUUUUAAUUUAGCACAAGAGGUGUCUGUGUCACUGGGUGUGAUGGCUGUGUCACUGGGUGUGGUGGCUGGUGUGUGCCACCUCUGUGGAAAUUAAGGUGGACAGGGCUUCCGGUAAAGCCUCAGGCAAAGAGGUUUCCCUCCGCUCCCUUCUUCCGAGCCCAACACACACCAGAGGCUGGAGUUGCAGCAGCCAGGGGCCCUGGGACAACGGAGGGCAGGUGGCUGAGGUGCGGAGGACUGGGCUGUGUUUCCGGGGCCAAGGAGGCACAGUGUCCCCACUCGGGGUGGGGUGCUUGUUAAAGGUGCUCUCUGUGCGUCUUUCCCACCAAGAUUAAGACUCGAUGUCCUGCAGGUGGCCUUCCUGGGCCUCACUGAGCCAGUGACUCGAAGGUCCGUCCUUGCAGCAGUGGGUUUAGGGAUGGACCCCAUCCAGUUCUUCUCCCAAAAAGUGCGAGUGACAGAUGCCACUCAUCAAGAGAAGUAGGGAGCCAUGCCCACGUCGUGGGCAAGCAGGACAGGGAAUGGCAAGCCUGGGCUCCAGGAGUGCGGAGGAGUGGACCCUGAGCCGCCUCCCUUGGGCUCACUGUUGCCCUGGGUGAUACAUCCUGCUGCUGCAGCCCACUGAAUCACAGUUUUCAAUUACUUUUAGUCAAAACUUCCUGAUGUAUGUUUUAGAAGAGCAUGUCUUAGGGCUUGUCAUAGGAAUGUAAAAUGAAUGUAUGUCAAAGAUCUCACCGAAUAAGGAGGGAGUCAGUAAAAUGUUACAGUGGUUCCAAGGAAAAUUCAAAGAGCCAGUCACAUGGGCAAAGGGGUGCUGGAAAAGAAUUCACAGGCGGGCGGCUAGCUCAGGGGUUCAGCGCCUGCCUAGCAUGUGUGAGGUCCCGGGCUGCAGCCCAGGGCAGGGAAAACACAUGGCAAGCAGAUCCCAGCUGCCUUUUCCUGGGGGAGGGAGGAAGGAAACCAACUGUCCUUCAACCUCACAGAAUUAAUUUGCAUGUCUGUGGACAAGACUCACUUCCUUUGGUAGUGUUAUCUACAAUUUCCAGAACUGUGAAGUAGCUUCAAAAAAACGAAAGAUGUAAAACCCAUGGAAUAAAAUAUGUAUCUAUCUCCAGGAUUAGACAAUGCCUGGUUCUCCAAUCCCUGGAGACACCCAGUCGUCAUUUGGGCCAUUUUCAAGUUUGCCAUGCAUCAGUCGCACCCAUCACGUCUAGAAGGACCAUUGCCCUUGCUCCCUCACCUCCUCGGCCUAGUCUGAAUGUCCUCUCCAGCCGGGUCGAGGGGCGCUUCCUGUUCAGCGAGGGGAGAGAAGCCCCAGUUGCUUCCGAGUUCUGGCUUGGGUUUUGGUGAUGGAUGGAUCAUCUCCCUGUCUCGUAUUUUCAAGUGGUUACCAGGCUGUGAUUUCCAGCCUCUUGCUUGACAGGAUGCUGCGUCUGGAUUUAUUUUUGCAAGAAUUUCCAACCUUCUGUCCACACUGUAAUAAAAGUUAUAAAAGACAUAUGUCUUUAAAAUGGCUUCCCCUUGGUUUUGGCAAACUUAGCCUCUUUCUGGACCUCUCUAGAGGUCAUUAGUAACCCCUUCCCAGAGCCCCCAGGUGCGGGGGGGGGGGUGUCACAGCGUAGAGGACUAAGUGACCUUGUAAGUUCCCAGAUCUUGCAGGUUCCUGGGGGCCUCAGCGCUCUCCUGCCUCCUGCAGGUCACAGAGAUUCUCAGUCCUGCGCCAGGUAAGCCUGUCACACACCUGCAUACGGGGACACAGGGACCUGAUCCUGCUUUCAGUUUUUGGACUGGCUAUUUUCCAGGACAGAAAAAAGGUGGCCCCUUUUUGUAAGAAAGGACGGAGAGUUUGGUGUCCAGAUCCACCAAGGGCUGGGACCUGUGUUCUGGAGAAGGCGGCGGAGUCACGGCACUGGGAACAGGGGUCCUGGUGGAGGUGAGAGGACGUUGGGGGGAGGUCAGGGUGGCCCCCGAGCUGUCUGUCCUGCUUCGUCAGCCCCCUGCUGUGCUGCUGGGGACCGAGCCUGCACACAUGCACGUGUUUGCUGUUUUUAAUAUGGAUUGCCUAAUGAGAUGACAAAUCGCACCGGGCGCAGCCGUCUCUUCAAUGAGGAAGCAAAGCAAUUACGUGUUAAAUGACAUUGCUUCGGUGUCCCAAGCUGUGCGGGAUUCGUGUAAAUUGAAUGACAGUAAAGACCCCCACGCUGGCUUUGUAUACGGCCUGUCACAUCCUGUGGGGAGGGAACGCCACGGUCACCAGGACCUUCUCGGCUUCAAAUGUCAAAAAUGACAAAUGGACCCUGCUUCCCUCCUUCAUAAUGAUCAUCUGUCAGCAGCUGGUGGCAGAGGAGCAGGCUGGGGCUGCUCAUUUGCCUCAUCUGCUGGAGAAGACACCAUCAGGGUAAACCGAGCUCCCGAGGAGGCUGGGGACAGCUGGAGGCCAGGUUUGGUGAACAGCAAAUCCCAGGGGAUGGGCUUCUCCAGGUCUCCUGGUAACCCGGGCGCCCUCCUAGCCCACAGCUCUCCCCACGGCCCCUCUCCUCAGGGCGGAUGCAAAGACCAGGGGACGAUCCUGGCCGGCUGGGCUGUGAGUGUCAGGCUGGGGGACAGGGCAUGAUGUAAAAUAUAUAAAACGUGAUAUUUGUCCUUUUAGCCACUCACAAGUGUAUGAUUGGCUGGCACUGAGGACAUUCACAAUGUGUGGAGCCCCUACACCAUUUAUACCCCGGCAUGACCUACCCCCACGUCCCUGGCAUCUAUCUAUAUUCUACUCUCCGUCUGUGAAUCUGCCUAUGCUGAGCUGAGUCACACCUCACUUAGGGUGGAACCCCAUGCCCACCAUGUGGGGGUGAGUGCAUGGAGUGGCCCCUCCUGUGAGUGGAGUGGUGGGCAUCUGUUCUACUGUUAUGGCUUAUUUCACUGGGUGUGAUGUUUCUAAGCUCUGUGGAGUUGUCACAUAUGUCAAAAUUCCAUUCCUUUUCAUGGCUCUGUGAUAUUCCUUUGUGUGCAUUCACUGCCAGGUUGCCUUUGGAGGAACCUUGGUACCUGCUGCUUGGCUGUAGCCUCAGACCAGGAUUGAGGCCAUUGUGGAUGGUGCAGAGGCCAGGGCUUCCUGCUGCCCUUUACCCCAAGGACGUGGCUGCCUCCCUACUGUCUGUCUUCUCUGACCCUGUGUUCACAAACUGCAGGGCGCUGAGAGGGAUCACAGGCCUGGAUGACAGGGAAGAGACCAGGAGCCGGUUAUUCCCUGACUUUUGAAAAAUGCUGAUAAGAUGCUCACAGACCCUGGGUACAAAUCUGUUUGCACUUAGACAGCUGGCCCCAGAGUGACCGUUGUGUCUGUUGCCAUGGGGACAGUGGAUGGCACUGCUCUGCUGAUCAGAACCCGCGAGGCCUCGCAGGGCGGCCAGGGGGAGACCCGGCAUUGCUGGUGCAGGGGCCGCUCCAGGCCCUGGCAGGGCACGGGGGGGGGGCGUGGGGUUCCACCCUGGCGAGGUGGGGCUCGGCUCAGCACCAGCUGCUAGGAUCUGGUCGCCAGGCCCUGACCAACGACCUCGGCCGGGCCCCUCGACUUCACAGAGGAGGAAACCGAGGCCCCGCAGACCAGCGGCUGAGCCGGGCCCCUCUGCAGGCGGUUCCUGCUCGCGCUCCUCCGGGUCCCGGGGUCACCCCACCCCACGGGACAGCAACUUCUCAGCUGCCAGUGGCAGGUGCGUCUGGGGGAGGCCCCAAGGCGGGGACACAGCGGCUCCAGACGCGCUCUUGAUGCUCAGUGUCACCAGCACUUGGCGGGAAGGACCUGGGUCCUGCUGAAAGGUCCCCGCUGUGGGAGGGUGGCGGCUGGGUGGCAUUGCCAAUCCAGCGCUGGUGCUCGAUUCUUUGAAAGGAGAAAAAGGGCCAAGUCCAGCACCCCCGCCUUUUUCAGUGCUGUCUGGUGGACAGCCUCCCCGGGUGAGGCCCGCAGGGCUGCCUCUUCCCCGGAAGGUCUGCGGCUCCCUGGCCGCGUUUCAGCCUGGCAGAGAAGGGGGCGAGGCCUCUGGAGCCCUUGUGAAGUGGCUUGUUUACUUGGCCACCCUUCCGCAUGUCCAGCCUCUGCUGUCCUGUGGAGUCACAGGCUGUCAACUAGGAAAGCCCUUGCAGGAGGGUUGCCCGCCUUCCCCUCCCUGGAGCUGUGGAUGCUGAGGUUCAGAGAAGCCCACUGACUCGGGAACUCUGGGCAGAGCGGCCUGAAGGGCUCCUGCUGCCACUGGUGAACUUCGGUCCCUUCCGUACCUGCUUCUCACCCCCCUCCCCUUGCCCCUCUUGCUCUCCUUUCCUCCUCCCUCUUCACUCCAGCCAUGUCCUCCUGUGGGUUGAACCCCGACUCCCUCCAGCCCGAGGCUCACCAGUCCCCCUGAGCGCCCACUGCAGGACAUCCUCACCGUGUGUGGCCUUUUCCCAGUCUCCUCCCUCUGCCUCCUUUCCCACGCUCUCACCCCUGUUUCCUAGGAUCCUCUCUCAAAUAAACCACUGUCACCCCAGUGCCCGUCUCAGGGUCCACGUGGUGUCAGAAUCCCAAAGUGGCCCCCAGACUCCCCUGAAAUCACAGCCUGGCAACUCCCUGACCUCAGCCUCUGAGACUGCGCAGAAGCCACCCUGUCCUGCCUGGACUUGUGACCAACAAACACUGUGGGCGAGAGCGGUUUCAAGACACCACCUUUGUGACACUUCGCUAUACAGAAACAUAAAGCAGGUAACAUGGUGUUUUUGUGAAACCCAAACUGAGAUGCCUUCACGCUGUUGGCCUCACCAGUCCUGGCUCAGGCACCGAGCCUUGCAGAGGACGCAGGAGAAAGGGAAACGCGGCGGGAGAAGACAUCAGUCCGUCUUUUUCAGCAUAUAACAUAUCCAGUAGGCAAAGAGCUAAAUAAGGAUGAAAGACUAAAUUACGUAGUUAACAGAGUUUUAGACUUCAAUUGCGAAUCAAGAGGAACUAAGCAUUUCUCUCCCACUGAUUACAACCAGGACCUCUGGACAAAAUGUACUGACAAGGUAAAACUUCAGGCAGAUCGGGAAAGGGAAGCACAACUUGAAGAACGAUGUAUCCAGGUAUCUCCAUUUCUAGGAUGCAGCUAAAGAACAUUUUACAGCGUUAUAUUCCCAUAUUAGAGAAGAAAAUAAACAACCUAAGCUUAUGCCUUAAAGAAUUAGAGGAUGAAGAGCAGAUUAAUCCAAGCAGAAAGAUAGAGCAAAUAAAAUAUCAGCAUAAAUCAAUGAAAAUGAAAAUUGAAAAUAGUAAAGAAAGUCAGUGAAGGCUGAAGACAAUGUUUGGGAAAGAUCAAUAAAGACUGAUAAACUUUCAGCCAAGCUGUCUCCAAGGAAAAAGGAGACAGGAGAACUUUAGUCCAGUGUGGUGAUUGCAGUUAAUAGCAACGUGGUUCCAUACUUGAAAAUUGCUAAAACAUGUUUCAUAUGUUCUUACCACAUACACAGAAGACCUGUAGGUAAUGUAUAUGUUAAUUAGUUUGGUUUGGUCAUUCCAUAAAGUCUGCAUAUACCCAAACAUCAUGUAUAUGCCAUAAACACAAUUAUUGUCAAUUAAAAUAUUUUUAAAUAAACCAAUUUCUAAAAUAAAAAUGAAAGUAAAGACCCUAUAGACAUUCAACUGAUAAGAGAAUAGUAUGAAAAACUCAUGCUUACGAAUUUUACAACUUAUAUAAAAUUGGUCAGCUCUUUGAGAGACAAAAUAAUUUAAUCAAGAAGAAAUACGUAACCUAUAUCUAGUUGGGUGCACCAGUGCAUACCUCUCAUCCCAGCUACUUGGGAGGCUGAGGCAGGAGGAUCUCAAGGUCAACCUCAGACCUGGACAACUUAACAAGAUUGUGCCUCAAAAAUACAAACUUUAAAAAGGGUUGGGGCUAUAGCUCAGUGGUAAAGCACUCCUGGAUUCAAUCUCUAGUGCCGGAAUAGACAAACAAAAUUCCUAUAUUUACUAAAGAAGUGAAUUAAUGACUAAAGCUUUCUGGAACAAGAAACGCCCAGAAUCAGAUAGUUUCAUUGGCAAAUUCUACCAAACAUUUGAAGUAGAAUAAUAUCAAUUCUAUACAAUCUCUUGUAUAAAGUUGAACAGGAAGAGACAUUUUUCAGCUCUAUUUGUGAGGCUGGCAUUACUCUGAUAUCCAAACCAGACAAAGACAUUAGAAGAAAAGAAAACUACAGACCAACAUCCCCCAUUAACCUAGGCAAAGUGCUUGACGAAAUAUUAGCAAAUCGAAUGCAGCAAUUCAUAAAAAGAGUAUCUCAUCAAGGUGGUAUGGUUCUUGUCCUAGCAAUUCAAGGGUGGUUCUACACGUGAGUCACUUACUGUCAUUUACCAUACUAAUAGACUACAGAUGAUAAAUUAUAUGAUGAUCUCAAAAGAUGCAGGAAAAGCACCUGAUAAAAUCAAGCCCCAUUUGUCAUAAAUACUCUCAGCCAGGUAAAGAAGAAAGCUUUCCUAACAUCAUGCUGCUCAAUGGUGAAUUAGCUGAACGCUCUCUCUCCUGUGGUCGGGAGCAGGGCAAGGAUGUACACUCUUACCACUCCCACUCCACAUUUUCUGGAAAUUCCUGCCCAUAUAAUAAGGCAAGGGAAAGAAACAGAAACCAUCCAGACUGAAAAGCAAUAAAACCUUUUUUUUUUAUUCAUAGAUGACAUGACUGUCUAUAUAGACAAUACCAUGGAAUCUAUGCAAAAUUUCCUAGAACUAAUAAGUUUGUCAACAUCACAGGAUAAAAGAUCAUUUUGUAAAAAUCACUCUUCACACAUAUUGGCAAUAAACAAUAAAAGUUAGAAACUUUUGGAAAAUGACAUUUAUAGGAGUUCAAAAAAUGAGACACUAAGGUAGAAAUCUAAGGACAUAGGUUUAGAAUUUGUUGAAAACUAUUAGAGCUGAUGAAAGAAAUCAAAGAUGAUUCAACCAAGUGGACAGAUGUUAUGUGUUCAUGGAUUAGAAGAUUCACUAUUGACAAUAUAUUGACAAUCUUCUCCCCACAUUGAUUUAUACAUUCAGGAAAUCACAAUCAAAAUUUCAGUAGGACUUCAAAAAUAUCAACAUUAUAUAUUUGAAAAAGAAAAGAGUUGGGGAAUUCACAUGAUCUUUUUUCAAGAUUUACCUCAAAGCUCUUAUAAAAAAGACUGUAUGGUAUUGGUGAGACAAUCCCUCAGAGGAAAGGAACCAUCCAGAGUAGAGCCUCACAAAUGUGGAACAUUCAUUUUUGCCCAAACACCAAGUACAAAUCCUUUCUCGUUUUCUUGUGUAUAUAUUCUAUAGCUAUUUUUUGGUGGUUACAUGGGAUCACAUUUAACAUCGUGAACACUAACAUUCUAUGUUGGAUUUAUAUCCCUUUAGCCCUAACACAUCCAAACUUUGCUCCUUACCUCUGUGUGCCCACUUCAUUCAGUCACUCACCUCACAACACUUCAUCCUUGUGUCCUGUGUGGGAAGUGGUCAGUGUCAUUCCUUGGAACAUGCCCUCCUCCCUGUUCUCCCGUCGUCACCUGGGAUGUCCACAACACAUGUGUUGGCUUGCCGGUCCUGCAGGUCUCCUACGCUGUGGCUACUUCUCUGUAGCCGUCUUCCUUCCCUGAGAUUCAAUAGUGCCCAUUGUUCUGUCUUCAGGAAUUCUCUCUCCUACCUGCUCAAAUCUGCCUUCGAAUCCCUCCAGUGAAAUUUUCAUUUCAAUCAUUGUACUUUCCAACUCCAGACUUUCAUUUUGUUUUCUCUUCAGGUUUUUCAUCUAUUUUCCAUUUGGUUCACCCAUCAUUUCCUUGACUUUCUCCACGUCGUCUUUUAGUUCCUUGAGUAUCUUUGUGACAGUUGUUUUGACAUCAGUAUCUACUUGACCUGCCAUCAGGACUUUUUCAGAGAGUUUCUGUUUGUUAUUACCUUUUUCUUUGAAUGAGCCAUGAUUUUAUUUCUUUGUAUGCCUUGUAAAUUUUUGCUGAAAAUUGGACAUUUGAAUCUAACAAUGUGGUAACUCUGGAAAUUAGUUUCCCUUUUCCCUGGGCCUACUGUUGUUGGACUGCUGGCUGCCCCUGUGCCCAGGAUCAGCCUGUGAUGUAAAGCAGGUCUUCUUGGGUCUCGGAGCCUGUGCUUUACCUGGGAGUGUGUGUGAUCUCUUUCUAAUCUUCCCUGCGUGAGGUUGUUUAUAAUGACCUAGUGUUUAGCAUCUGGCUCCAAAAAGGGAUAAAGGGGGGAAAUAAAGAGGUGGGUGGGGAAGAAGCUCCAGCCCUUUGAGUCCUUUGGAAGUCUCCUUGGCUGGAGGAGGAGGGGCUUGCACCAAUGGCAGGAGGCACAACAAUACAGACACGGCCUCCCCCCCCCCCGCCCCCUCAGAACCUCUGUGAUCACAGUGUUCAGAAGACAGGGUCCUUUGAGCUCAACUGCUCCUGGGGUUCGUGUUCAGCUACCUGCCAUGGGGUUGGGAGCUGGGACAGGGACGGAUAGCUGCUAUUGUGCUAAGAGCUAAAUUUGAUCAACAUGAACUGCACUUAGUGUGCAAGCCUUCCCUGGAAGUUUCCAACCUUCAGUAGACUCCGGAGCUCAGUUAUAUCAGACAGAUUCUGCCGCAGUAAUUUUUGCGUGGGUGGGAGACAGAUUCUCAGAGCUGCCUACUCAGCCAUCUUCUCAGUUGUUUUGUCUUUAGUGUGAUUUUAAUUUGCUGAUUUAAGCAUAUAUGAUGAGUUCCAAUCCUUUGAAACUAUUGAUCUUAUUGACACUCCAGGUAUCCCAUUUUGGGCCAAUGGGAGUCUCUUCAAGGGGCCCCUAAGUUCCUUGGACACCACCUAGUCAUCUUGGAUAACUUCCGGGCCUCCAGCAUGACAGGACACUGGAGACACCCCCUCCGGUUUCCUAUGCCAGACUUAAAAUCAGUUAUUUCUUGAGGGAGCCCUGGCUCAUAUUGGUUGGAAUUGGUAUUUAUGACCACAGUUAGGUGCUGGCAUGCUUAUUAGUUCUGGAUUAGUCAUUGUGUUCGGGUUUGUUCAGUGUCUAGAGUAUCAAAUUAUAGACCUACGUGGUUUUUGUUAAGUUCAAGGAUCUCAUGUCUGUAUUUCCUUGUUCCACUCCAAAAAUCCCAGUUUCACUGCCUUCAACGUAAUUACCUACUUUCUUUAUCCUACAAAGCAUGCACCAUAGUUUCAUAAUAAUGGGACUAAAACUACGACCAGCAAUAUGAAUAGCAAAAAAUAGUUUCAGACCUUUAUCCCCAAGGGGGGAGGGUUCUUUUGUUCAGAGGUUACAUCCUCCUGGGGGUAAAACCAGAGCACUAUUCUUUGAAGUCACUUGGAUUAGUGGCUGUCCACGGGGAAGUCCACACCCCAGUGAUGAGAGAGAUUCAUGUGUUUCAUUUUGCUUUUGACUUCAAGGGUUGGUUUUUAAAGUUUAAUGUUGCUUUAAAAUGAAUAAAAUAUUAAUAUCAACUCUACAAAACAGAUUCAAGGAUGCCUAGCUUCUCAACUUGGUCUUCUCCACUGUAUUCCUUCCCUCUUCCCUUAAGUAACCUUUUAAAAUACUUUAUUAUCUAUUCUUUAGUUUAAAAAUGCAGACACACACAUCUCCUUCCUUUCUUAGAUAAUAGCAGCACACUGUGGUUUUCUUCAUCUUGCCUGAUCUCAAUAGUAUGCUCCCCCACCCGCUGGUAAGUAGUGGUCCUUUGGUUUUAGCUUUAGUUCAACAGACAGUUCCAUCUUAAUGUCUGAGUUGUUUCUAGUCUUCUGCUCUGCGAUGAUAGGUCUGCACAUUUGUCUUAUCUUUUGGGGACAGACUCCUAGAAAUGGGAUUGUAGGAUCAAAGCAUUUGUAAUUUUCUUAUAUAUCACCGAAAACCUAUAACGGCAGUCAACCAUUUUGCAUACCCAUCAGCAAAAGUAUAAAAAAGCAUCCCCCUCGGCCCCGGCCUUGCCAACAGAGUUGUCAAGUCUGUGCCUGCCAGCGCUGUAGGUGAGAAACAGAAUCUCGGAGGAAGUUAAACUUGCAUUUCUCCUAUGAGCAAGGUUCAGCAUCUUUUCAUAUUAAUUUUCAUUUUAAUUUAUUUUUCUGAGACCUGGUCAUUCACAUUUGCAGAGUAUAGGCUUUGGUUAGUGUUUUUUUUUUUUUUUGGUCUAAUUUUUAGAAGCUCUCUCUAUGUUUUGCCUGUGAGAUGUUUUCCCAGAUUGGUCAUUUGCUCUUCUCAUGGCUUCUGCUUUUUAAUUCUUUUUUUAUUUUUUAUUUUUUUUAGUUCUCGGCGGACACAACAUCUUUGUUUGUAUGUGGUGCUGAGGAUCGAACCCGGGCCGCACACAGGCUAGGCGAGCGCGUUACCUCUUGAGCCACAUCCCCAGCCCUGCUUUUUAAUUCUUUGUGUGUAAAAGUGUUUAUGCAUUUUUAAAUAUAAUUGAAUUUGUCCUUCUUUUUCUUUGGAGUUCGAGUCAUGGUGAAGCAGCUUAUUUGUAGUCUCAGAUUUUGAGAUUUACCCAUGUUUUCUUCUAGUACUUAGGAGGAUUUUUGGGUUUUGUGUGUAUCUUCUCCAUUCAGUGUCUACCUGGAGUGUGGUAGGAGAAAUGGACCAAUUUUACCUGCAUUUUUAGAAGGUUCUGCAGCUGUAUUGAAGCUGCCUAUUUUGAAAGCCCAUCUGCCCCCAUUGCCUCGCCGUGCUGCCUUGACCUUAGUGGGGUGCGGAGGUCCCUAGUUCUGGCCGGUUCGCUGGGCCUGUCUGCUCCUUCUCUAACCCAUCACAAGGCCCUUCCUCUCUUCCUUCUUCUGCUUCAGAAUUCCUCCAGCGACUGCUUGUUUCUUGCUUCCUGGGGGUUUCAUAGCCAACUUGCUCAGCUCUGCGGGAAUCGUCUGGAUGAUGUUUUUGGGGGGCUUGAACUGAAUCUACCAUUCAUUCAAGGAGAAGUAACAUCUUGAUGACGUUUCCCAUUGAAGAACACAGGGAGUCUUAGUAAUGGUUCAAAUCUCCUGUCUUCUCCCAGGAGGGCUUUCUCCUUUGUUCCUUCCCUGGACACAGGGGAGACUAGGGAUGUGCUGCUCAGAUUUCCCUUCCAGGACGGCCUCUGCCGGGCUGGGAGCAGGGGUUAGCGGGUGGCCUCCGCCUACAGUCUCUUCAGGGUCCCCCUCAGCUCCUGGUGCAAGGUUCUGCUGUUCUUGGGGAGGCCCUGGCUCUGGACUGAGCAAGGCCAGCAUGAAGGCCUGGCCAUUUCUGCCCAACCCAGAAUGAGCUGUGGGUCUGGGAGACCCCACGAUGUUUUUCAGGUGUGAGCUGAAGUUGAAUAGUGGCGAUCCUUUCCUUUACCCCCCAACACAUUUGGGUGUCCAGGACAUCAGGGUCCUUGGAAACAAAAGAGGCUCAAGGAAAAAAAAAAAGUUAACUUUAUAUAAGAAUGAGAGGAGAAGGCCCCAGCACAGGGGUGCAGAGCGGGGGCCUGCAGGGUGGAAAGGGCGGUGGGGUUGCUGGCCUGGGGGGCGCCUUCUGCGCAGGAGCAGAUGAGGCUGGAAGGAAGGUGGUUCCUUCUACCAGAACGAACAGGCCCCCCAGGGAGGCAGCUCCGUUCUAAAGCUGUCUCAGAACAGACCGUAUUCCUGUUCCAGUUUUCCUAAAGGAACUCCAGGAAAGAGGUGGAUGAUUGAUGUCUGCAGAGUUAAUGGCAACCCCACCCCCGCAAAUAAACAAAUAAACUAAAAACCCCAACCAAACCCCCCCACCAAACAAACAAUGACAACAACAAAAAUAACAUCAUCUGGGGACCAUUCUGAGCACUUGAUUCAGACUUUAUUUUUCCCAGAGAAGACUGCGGUCUCUGGCCUCCCAAGCUCUGAGAGCCUGUGGUGCUCCUGCCUUAGGCAGCGCUGUCAAUGGCUGAGGGCCUCCCUCCUCCGGUAAUGGCCUAUUAUUGCUUCAGGAACGCUGCAGCGGCUUCGCUCUGCCAGCCCUGCCUUCUGCCUUCCCUCGUUAAGGGAGCCACCUGAGUUUCUAAGUGCCCCGCCAGACUUUUUCCAAAACGUGGCAGAUGCACAGCUGCCUGGAGUCAGCCUGACCAACCGACGGCCAGAGGAGCAAGCGCAGCCUUCUGAGGGCUGGAGGGACUCCUCAGUGGGCCUCAGCAGGGGCUGCCACCAAGACCCGUGGGGCUCGGAGCAUCUUCAGUGGGGCCCCAGGCUCUCCAUCACCUGUGUGAAGCAGCAGGUCACCAGCCCCCUCCAGCUCGGCUCCCAUCUGCUGGGGGAGAGCCAGUGUCAUUGCUGUGACAGCUGAGAAGCACCCCUCCCCCCGUGGGGAAGCGGCAGCACAGGGCGCUGUGUGUGCCAAAGCCCAAAUUGGCAUCUGUGCCCAUUUAUGGGGCAGUGGCCCAUCCACGGUGGUCUCCGAGGUCCCUUAGGAAUCAUCUGGGAGACAGAAGAACAAGGCAACACAAAAUCCUAACCAAGCCCUGCGCCUGCUCCGGGCUGAGCUGCCUGCAGCCAGUCAGCAUUCGGACCUCGUCCCCGGGGGCGGGAAGCCCAGCCUCUGACCACCAGCAGGCCCGGUGGCCCAGCCCCCCACGCUCCGUGCAGCAAGAGUGGCCACAGUGCUGCCAGGAGGAUGUCCAGAGCCUGCCAGCUCCCCAUGAGCUCCGUCCUGUAGCCCCAAGUAGUGAAGCAUCGGGGCUGUCACGGCAGCUUUUCAACUCGAAGCCAGCUGUGUCCCACACCAGCCUGUCCCCAGCUCCCAGUCUGCUGUCCUACCUGGUGACACUUCAGGCCCCUCUCAGCAGGGGCUCCGCUCUGGCUGCCCAGAGGUUCUCGUGCCCGUAAGUGCAGGGUGACCCACACGGACAACCCCCUGGAACCCAAAUUCAAAUCCAUCGUCACCAGGAUGGGCCCUGAGCGUGCAGGGCUGGUGCCCGAGCCCAGGAGGAAGCCCGUGGCUCACCCGCCCGACUCUGCAAGGCUGCGGGCCACCUGCCCGCCGACUUGGUUCAUUCUCUGACCUUGGUGGAUUUAGGAUUCUUGAGCUUUCUGGGGUUUCCUGUGGAAAGUGGCCUCACAAUGACUGCAGGCCUGUGACUCCCGGGAACCCCAGACCUGCCCCCUUCUCUUCUCUGACCCAUAGCAGGAGGGACACCCCCUACUGCGAGACACCUUGGCACCCUCACCUCCCACACAGCUCCGGGUCCCCCCUGGGCUCAGGUGCAUUCUAACUUGCACCUUGUCAGAAGGUGGAGGGGGAGAGCCUGGCCAGGCCCCGUGGCUGACUUAGGGCCAUUCAGGCAGGCAUUCUGGGUGCUGGGCCCUGGAGCGUGGUCCAGAACAGGCAGGGGCUUGGGGAAUGGGCCUGUCUCCUUCACCAGCACCCUGGAGACGGGUGACCUGGGCCCACAGCAGUGUCCACGGCAAAGCUGGCCCUGUGGCAGAAGGAGGGGUGGCUCAGGGCACGGAGGAGUCACCACGGGGUCCUGCAGGCUCCCAGGCCAUCAGCGGCAGGUGGGGCCUGUGGAGGUGGUGGAGAGGCAACAGAUCUGCAGAGAGCUUCAGGGGAGUGUGGUGGGGAGGAGGAGGGAGUCCGUGCAAAGGAGCAGGGAGCAGGACAACCUGGCCAUCAGAGGACGCCUGGGUCUGGCAGACAGGGCGGGGGGUUGGCCGGGGAGCAGAGAGGUGGGCCUGAGCCUCCUGGGCAUCCAUGUGGGCAGGGACACGAAGGCUGUCCAUGGCAGAGGAAAACCCCUGUUUAAACAGGAGUGGCCCGUGUGUCCUUGGGCAGCACUCAGCGGUGCCCUCACUUGGGCAGAUGCUGCUGUUUGCAAUGUAUAUAAAGAGGAUCUGAGGCUGCAGCAGAGACCAGACCCAGCUGGCAGCCCAAGUCAGAGCUGGCACACUUAAUUUUUACUUGUAGCUUUGUUUGCUUGAACUACUGAAUAACAAAGAAAUUCAGUUGCCGCUAGAAUUUUGUUUUUAAGAGCUGUAUUUAUUAGAUGCUUUUAUUGUGCUGGGAGGUUUACAAGGCUUUUCAAGCCACAGUACUGUUCCAAAUAAAUGAAUCCAAGUCCUGCCCCAGGAUAUUAGGGACAAAUAACACAGAAAUCGUUCUUGUUCUCAUUUUCGUUUAUGUCUUCUGGGAGGCUCGUAGGAGUGCUUGUUUGUGGUCUGAGUCUGAACAGCAGAGACGCCUGGAGGGAGUGAGUUUUGAACAGGACUUUUCCACCCAAUAGAACAAGAUGGAAUUUGAAUCCAUCAUGAUCACCUCUGCGGGACACAGCUGCGUCUUGGUGCAGCAGAAGCCCUUUGUGAUGGCUGGGCGGUUGGCAUUCCAACUCCUCACUUCUGGAAACUAAAAAUGAAAUGGUACAGAGGGACAAGAAGAGGUCUUGGAAUCUAGGGGCAGGUGAUUCCUUCUUCAGAACCCAUCCCCCUUUCCUCUUGGCCAAUUUUGUCCAGAUGUCCACUCAGUCUACACAGGGCUCAGGGAGGGUCAAAUCCACUCACUGAGGUCUCAUUCUCCUUUUCUGUGAUUGACCAAUGAGAACCUCUUCUAGCCUUUGUUAAGUCUGGUUGUAACGCCAAGACCUCUGCAGCCAUAUUGCAAUCAUGAGGAGAGCUAGCUUAAAGACAGGUUAACUUGAUGAGUGAGUCGAAGGGGAAGGUGAAAAGAAUCCAGGUCUUUGAAGAUGUCAUUCCAUCACUGAGUUAACCAUCCUAAGACCCACCUUAUCUUGAAGAGUUUUAUUAGGUCAGGUAACACAUUUUUCUUCCUGUAACUGGCAAAAUUCUCCCCAUGAAGGGGAACAAUGUCCUCUUCCUAAACCUGCCAUGUGUGUCUCCCUCUUGGGUCUUCAUGCAAUAGUGUUGUGGGAAGGGUGAAAGGGAGAGAGGGUGUUCCGCUGUCUUGUUCUCCAGUCACAGAUGUGAUGCAUGUGUCCCAACUUCCCCUUCCUGCCAGCAGUGGGACGUGUAGCCAGAGCCCAGGGGCCAGGUGUGUGAAGGCUGAUUCUAGACUCUGCUUCUGGGGUGGAGCUGGUGAAGGGGCGCUGCUCCCUCUCUGCAGAGCAGAGACUGGCUCGCCCACCCCUGGGGCCCCCUGGCUCCCUCAGUGGGGGGUGGCCACUCCUUACCACGCAUUGUCCUGGGCAUUGUCCUGUGUGUACCUGGGCUGCCCGUCCCUCUGCAGCAGGGGCAAGAGGUCUCCCCUCUGCGUAUUUCGGUGCUGACGCGGUGCCUGGUGGGGGCUAUGGAUCUGGGCUAAGCCCUAAGGAGAAGUUUCCCUUGGAAUUUCAAUCUGGGUCUUUUGGGGGCUUGGGCUGGUGCUGGCCUGAGAAACUCCACAGGGCCAGGGUCGCGGGACCCUGUCAUUUUGUCAAAUGUUGCCACAUGAAUAGCAGCAGGCGUGUGCAGAGUGGUGCUCAACCACCUGCUCUUCCCACAGGCGUCCAUCUGCACAAACACCGUGCCGGGCCUUGGUGGGCAUGCGGUACUCACCCUCCGGGCAGCGGAGGAAAGUGAGUUCCACAGGAAGGCAGGGCCCCAAGGACUGCAGAGUAGGUGUGCAGUGGACCUGGUCAAGGUGAGGGGAACGGAACGUGUGCGCAACCAAGGCUCUUUCUAGAAAUGAGAACUGGGAUCGGUGGCUUGUGACCUUGGCUCCACCGCGGUCAUUCCCUUGCUCUCUCUCCCUCAGCCGUGCUGGCCUUUCUUCCUUAGCUGUGGCUGCUCCCUCCUCCCUGCCCUGCCCACCCAGCCUGCUGGACUCCACGGUCUUUCAGGGCUCAGACCAAGUGUCCCCCCCUCAUUAUUUAUUGAGCACUUACUACAUGCAAAGCCCAGGGCCAGAGGUUGGGAAGCCUCCGGCCUCCUCACCCAGAGCCCUGGUCCUGGUCUUGGCCUUCACAGAGUCCACCACAGCUGGCAGUCUCAUGUUUGUGUGGCUGCUGGUUGGUGUCCAUGCCUCAGGCUGGGACAGGUGGGCAGACGUCCUGUGCAUGUUCUGCACAGGGCUCUUGGCAUGGAGCUCAGUGCCCAGCGCACGUUAGGGAGCCGAUGAACAACUUUUCUGAAAAAGUGAAUGAACUUCAGAGGGAUUUGGUGGUGACCUGGUCAAUCCCAGGACACGUGCUUGUCCUCCGACAGGGAUUUUGGGUAAGGCAGCCCCUCCUCCGGCCUUAGAUGGACAGCCCAGGACCUGAGUGCGCAUCCGAGGACUUGGGCACAGAUCUUGCUCUGAAAGAUCAGGGAUUUGUAUAUUUUAAAUUCAAAUUUGUUCCAUCUUUACUCGGUAUUUUGACCUGAAGAAAGCGCCUGCACAAAUGUCAGGCUUUUGUUCAUGGGGAGGCGGUGGGUGGGUGCUCUGCGUGGGAAUGAGCCCCGGGUCCCCUGUGCUGGGGGUGAGCCCUGGGUCCCCUGUGCUGGGGGUGAGCCCUGGGUCCCCUGUGUUGGGGGUGAGCCCUGGGUCCCCUGUGUUGGGGGUGAGCCCUGGGUCCCCUCUCUGGGGAGGAGCUGGGCUGGUUUUGUUCUGGAUGGAUUGUUCUGGAACCCCAGCAGGAGAAAGACAGGCACUCGGCAGAGCUGGCCCAGGAGGACUGUCUCGUCACAGGUUCCUUCCCGUCCGUGGCAGAGCUCCUCUUUGGCUGGAAGGCAGCCCCUCGGCCCCUGCACAGGCCAGUCACUGACACACUGCAGAGUUAGGUUCUGGGGAAGAACCAGGAUGUAUUUGUUAUUAAGUUGCGCUGUCCGCAGACUGUGUGGCCACGGCUCAUGCUGGAGACGCCUGGUUCCCUGUCACCCAGGACCACGUGGCUCCAUCGUCACGCGGCUCCAUCGUCCUUUCAGGACCAGGCUGUUCGGUCCUCUGACAACCCUGCCCAGGAGAACGUCCCUUCAGACCAGGAGCCAUGGUGUGGCUUGUCUGAAGUGCCACUGCUCCUGUGUGGUGCAGGUGGGCUAGAAUUGGAGCCUCUGGCCUCUCUCUAGGGCCUCCUUUGGAAGCUGGGCGAGCUAAGCCAAGAAGGUGGCAGGGAGGGUGGGUGUGCACCAAACAAACCUUGCAGAGUGGUUCAGUGUGCACACUGAGCUGCAGGUCCAGUGCAGCUUGCAGAAGACCAGACCUCGGGGAAGAGCCAUUGAGUGGGCCCCGUGGGACGGCUGGCCCCUGAAAAACAGCGACAGCAACUACAGCAUUCCCUUCUGCACCCAAACGUGAGUCAGCGGAGGAAGCAGGGCUCACUACUGGGGACCAAAGUGUUUGAGUCUCUCCUGCAAGGGCAGGGCCUUGCAUUACAUGUUCUGAACUGUGAGAGAGCGUCCAGCCCUUCACUAAUAACAUCUCAACAUCUUCUAAUGGCUUUGACUCACGACUGGUUUAGGUGUUUGACUUACAUAUCCAUCUUCCAUGUGGCAAACUGGUCUAUUUUCAUAACACCUUGGCAAAUCCCAUGGUGCUUGAGCCCAAUAAUCACCACGCUUAGACUCACGUGUUAUAAACACUGCGUCGUUGGAAUGAAGUCUGCUUGUUCAUUUCUUAAAUAUUUUGUGAAUGUGGAAUUGUGUUCUGCUGGCUAACAUUUUACGUGGUGUGUUCGCAUUGAUAUUCAUGAAUGAUAAUGAGUCUGCAAUUUCCUUACAUGUGCAGUGUUUAUCAGGCUCAGGUAUCCAUGUGGUAUUGAUGGCUCUUAGUAGGAGCUAGAAUGUCCAGUGCCCUUGAAAAAUCUGUAGGUUAAUCCUCGGGGAAAAGAAAGAAAGAGAGAAAAUAAAAAGAAAGCAGAAAAUUCCCAAAUUUCAGAAUAAUUGUAAUUUAAAAGAGAAAAAAAAAAGAUCAGUAUAUCAAGGUGCAGGAUUUCUGGUGCUUCUUUUCUACUCCCACUCCCUGGAGGCUGAGCGAGGCAGGCCCGGGAAACCUGCCGUCGGGCAGAAGAGGAGCCAGGGGUCUGAACCCCCACGGGAGAUGUGAGGUCUGCCCUAAAUCUGGACUGCAUUUGGGCAGGACUCACAUGGACCCCAAAUAAGGGUCUUCAAAUUGGGCCCAAUUUGAAGGAAUGAUUCUCAAAAUGCACAGCUUCUGGGGAGAAGAGGCGACGAGGAGAGAGGUGUGUCUCUAGCAACUGGUGGUGGGGGGAGAGGAAGCCAAGGGGAGUUCAGGGUCCUGCAGGACAGGACAGAACCAAGGACCAGAGGACACUCGGACACUCCCCUCUGCCCACAGGAACGGACCUCGAACCCACCAAGUGAACGGACUCCACCAGGCUGAAGAACUGGGUGCCACUGAGCUCCAAACACCACACCACAGAGAGAACACCACCCCAAGACUGCAGCCGCAGGGGGACUCCUCACCAAACCCCAAAACCACAUCACACACCAUUGAGGAAAUCCCCCUGGAGAACGGGGGGCGAUACCUGGGACAGAAGCACGUGCUCCACAUGCACGUGAAGAUACAAAGAAUCACUUAGAAUCAGAAAUUCAAAAAAAAUAAGAUAAAUGUAAACCAACAAACAGAAUGAGGAAGAGUUGACCCAGUUCUGGAAAAAAAUGGAAGAAAAAGACAAAACCGUCUGAGACGUGAAGAAUACGUGACAAGUUUCCCGAGGGACAGCGACCUGGGGGAGGCUGACCCAGAGCCCUGGAGAAGGGGAGGGACAGGACUUGGGCUUUCAGAGGUGGGGCAAGGCGACAGUGACCUGCGGGAAGCCCGUCUGUCCCCCUUGGGCUGGCUGGAGAGCCACGCGCUGCCGUGCGGUCAGGGCUGCAGAACCAGCUCUCUGCAGGUGCGGGCAGCAGGUCCGUCCUCCCCCAGCGGGGGCUUCCCGGGGCUCCGUGCCAGCCGGGAGACCGCGGGGAAAACCCAGCAAAGAGCCCGACGGGCGGGCGCGCCCUGUCAGUGCAGGUCUCCGACAAACCCCGGAGAGGACAGGGGCCGGGGGCGGUGGGUGCCUAGGCCCAGUCUCUCACGUCAGCGCGCAGGACACACACCAGCGAGGGCCCAUACUGGGGAGUCACAGAGAGUGGACAGGGAGGUCCCACGGGGCAGAGGCCCCAGUGACCCCUGCUGCUCUGCGUGGGCGUGCAGAGGGGCCACCCGCAGACCAGGGCCUCAGUCCAGCCCUGUCCCCGUCCCACCUCUGCGAACGUCAGCUGUGGAUGGCAGCACCCCUCUCCCAGCUUGUAAAUAAAAAUCCGAGUGGACAACAUUGUGGGCACUUUAUACUAAUCAUGUACUUAGUUUAAUUGUCUCAUUUAGUGUGAUUCUUAGGAAGCCCUGGGAGCUCUCCAACCCCCAACGCAGAAGGGGGAACACGCGUGUGACCAAGCAAGUGCCUGCCCAAGGUUCUCAGGUCCUUCAAGAGCAGCGGCAGCUCCAGAAUCUGGCGGGUUUGCCUGUCUACGCCUCUGCUGUCCCCUCCCACCGUGCCCCUGGCCGCCUGUCCCCCAGGAGCAGUUAUGGACAAGGAGAGCCUCGGGGUGAUGCUGCCUGGUGCUGGCCACGCAUAUCUCUCUUUGGUGGCCACUGCGCUGCCUGAGCUCACCACGCGCCCAGAGCAGGUGAGGUCCCCCCGAGGUACAGGGGAGGAAGUGAGUCCAGACCUUUGAGAGGGGCAGGGUAGAGAACAGGACUCGGGCCUCCCCGUUCAGGCCAGCUGCUUCUUACCACAGGCAGAGCCCCCUUGACAUCUAGCUGAGGGCAGGGGCCCAGGGGACAAGGUAAUGUAAAAUUAAAAUCAAUUAAAAUAACCUAAAGUAGGUUAUUGAUCUACCAAGCAAAUCAAAACCUGAUUUUACCAAGCAAAUCAAAACCUGAAAGUAGCUUUAUCCUAAAACUUGAAAUAAAGAGGGCCAUCACUGGGCUGGAAUGGCUCCUGAGGGUACCAGCUGGACGUAUCCUGUGGCCACCCGGCUCUGGGAUUUUCUUCUGCUCUUCUUUCAACAUAAGGCAACCCUCCUGGUCAUCUCACAGCCAAGCAGACCUGCAUCUCCCAGGCCAGCGCCCCACCCACGGUGCCCUUCAUCAGCCAGCAAGGAGGAAUUCUCCCUGAGGUUCCCAGCUCUUGUUUUUCAAGUUAGAAUUGAUUUUACUUUUAUUACCAUUUUUACUUUUUAGUGGAAGUUCACAGCAUGCAUAAAACUUUAAAAUACAAUUUAUAAAAGCUGCCAGAUAAGUUGAAACAACACAUUGGGCAUAUUAUGCAACAGUGUAUCCAAUAUGCUCUUAGAGAUAUACCAAAUUGGGUAGUUCCACCAUGCACGUAUUUAAAAGCCACUGUAUCUUCCAAUUAAAGAUUUUAUUUUGAGGUAAUUGGAGGUCUCCAAGCCAUUCUGAGAGACACAGAGAGCCUGCGGCUCUUCGUCCAUUUUCUACCUGUGGUGACGUCUGGCCUGAUGAUGGCACAGUGUCACAGCCAGGACAUGAACCCUGACACAGCCCACCCAGCUGAUUCAGAAUCUCCUUGGUGUGAGUGUGUGUCUGCCGCUGAGUAGAGCCGGUCAAGUGUGCAGGUUCCCAUCUCUGCCACUGUCACGAAGCACACAGUCCGUCACCACCAGGGACCCUCCUGGUGCCCUAUCCCAGCCAUGCCACCUCCCUCUUGCCACCUCUGGCCUCCAUCCAUCUGUCUUCCAUUCUAGAAUUUGGUCAUUUCAAGAGUGUGACACAGUGGGGUCAGACAGCAGAUAAGCUUUUAGACUUGCUUUUCAUCUGAGCGCUGAUAGAGCCACCAUCAUCACUACCCCUUGAUCAAGUGACUUAAACUCACAGUCCUUGGUUUCCUCCUCUAUAAAAUGGGGUGAUAACCACCAUUUACAUAUCAUAAGACAUGAUCUGGAACUUGGUGUUGUGGCUGCCGGGUGACUGUGACCCUCCUUGAUGCUCUGCCAUGAUGGGUUGUGAGCCUCCUGCAGCCCUCCGCUGCACACCUCCCAGAAGAUGCCGGCUGUUGCAGGCUCUCGGUCAUCUUUGUGGGAUACAGUCAGCACUUUGUGGUAUCUCGUGAAGAUGUGCUGUCCUGGAAAAGACACUUCGAACUGAGAGGCUGAUUGCUAUUUGCUUGUAGUGAAGAGGAGAACAGGUACUAGAGGAAGACGGCACAUACAGGGGGCCAGCAAUGUCACUGUAGGACCUGGGGACACAGCAUCAGAGGAAAGCGUCCUGGAAACAGACCAGAGGGGGAUCCUGGGAACAUAACAUCUCAGAGAGGAAUCCUGGGAGUAUCUGAUGGAGAGCGGGAUCCUGAAAUGCCCAUCAGAGAUGGAGAAGUCAGGGAUGCGGCGGCAGAGAGAAGAAGGCUGGGGACGUGCUGUUAGGUCUAGAUCCUGGUGACUAGGGAGGCAGCUCAGUCCCCAGCCCUUGUCCAGCAGGUAGGCUCUGUGUCUGACUCCUCAGUACCACUCCCCACCCCCCCAGACAUAGGGAUCCCAAGAAUACACCCUUGGAGGGGUCCUGGGAAUUCCUGGGACUACAUCAUCAUUGGAGACGGAGACACUGGGUACCCCCAUCAGAGAGGGAUCCUGGGAACACAACAUCCAAAAGAGGGAUUCUGAGGAUGCCCAUCAGAGAGCGGCUCCCAGGAAUGGCUGUGUUAGCCAGCUUUUCAUUGCUGUGGCAAAAUACCUGAGACAAGCUACUUGAAGGAGGGAAGAUUUAUCUUGGUUCAUGGUUUCAGAAGAUCCAGUCUAAGUCCAGCCGACUCCAUUGCUCUUGGCCUGAGGGGAGGCAGAGCAUCAUGGCAGAAGGGUGCGGGGAAGGAGAGCUGCUCAGCUCCUGGCAGCCAGGAAGCAGAGAUAGAGAGAGGGGCAGGGGACUGCUGCAUUCCCAAGAGCAUGCCCCCAAGGACACAGUCCUUUCACCUAGGCCCCAUCUCCUACUCAUCAAAUACUGAAUCAAUAGGUUAACCCAUUGAGGGGAUCAGAGCUCUCAUGAUUCAGUUACUUCCCCAAAUCCCCACCUCUGAACAUUGCAGAGUCUCUGGGGGACAUUCAAGAUCCAACCAUAACAGGCCAUCAGAGAGGGCUGUGGGGAAUGGCUAUCAGAGAGAGCUCCUCUUCAGAAAGCCAGCUGCCCGUCACUUCCUGCCUCUGAAGUUCUCAGUCAGAAGUUUAAGAUCUUGAGAUGUUUAAGGCAUUAAAGGCUAUAGACAGGACUGAGGGUGUAGUUCAUUGGUAUAGAGCUUGCCCGGCAUGUAUCAGGCCCUGGGUUCAAUUCCCAGGACCCACUCCCCAAAAAAGCUAUGGACAGUCAAUGUCAUUAAUUCUCUAAGAAACUGAAGUAUGAAAGGUUUUAAUCUUAUAUAUUUAAUUAAAGUUCAUAUUGUCUUUUGACAGCUAGGAAAAAAUGCUUUGUUAUUCCUAACAACGGUAGGAAUAUUGCAAAUCUCACUGGAGAACCUCAGAGUCACACAAUAAGGACCAAUACUGCUUCUUCCAGGUAACUAAGCAACUAUUACAAACCCAUUUGCAUAGGAAUAUACUGCACCGUGUCUAGGCAGCUCUUAGUGCGUUUGCUCAUCGUGAGGGGCAACUUCUGGCACUUUUAAUGCUUUCCCCCAAAGAACCUCUCUAACCGUGCACAAGCAAUUGGACCUCCCAGUUGGGAUGAUAUAAGUGGAAUUAAAUCUUUUAAAAUGAUGUCUUGAUGGCUGUUGGAAUUCCUGGGCCUCUGCUGUGACUUGACAGCUGGCAAUUGCUGAUUUGCUUUUAUGCGAAUUUAACUGACUCUUUCAUGACAGGAUCCUGCUAAACUUAAUGACUUGUGGGCUUCUCCUACAAGCUGCCCCAGGAGUGGGCUAGACAGUAGACACGGACCAGGGCGAGGGAGGUGCUGGCCUCUGACUUGCUAACUUCAGGCCCUGCUACCCCAGAGCUUUUGCAUGGAAGGUGCUCAGUAAAUGCAUGUUGAGGAAAGCUGUUGUUUUCCCAGGGAAUCAGUGAACAAUCACUAACAGGCCAGCAUCAUUCCUAGCUGCCCUGGCAUCGACUCUUGGAAGGAGAAUAGGUUUUGGGAUGAGACCCAGCUGGGUUCAACUGUUUUCUUUAACAUUUAGUAGCUGAGUGUCUUGGGGGAAAUUACUUAAUCUCCUUGGAUGUGUCUCCUCAGGGUGCAGGAGGCCUACCUUAGGGCGCUGUGUAUAUUUGAAGAGUUUAUACGAGUUAAUGCCUGAGGCAGUGAGCCCACGGCACCUUGCAUCCAAGAAACACUGGCUUCCUGUUUCUUCCUCCUUUAAAGUGUUUAUAUCUCCGUCUUCCGCCAUGUUGCUCAUGCCUUCCCCACCCCACAUGGUCAGCAGAAUUCAGUCAGAGAAGUCUGACUCCAUGCUCAACUCUGAGCCACUCUGCCGUGUGUGAGGGAGUCAGAAGCACAGCUGGUCCCCAGAGGCUGAGAAGUGGGAUGGCACUUGCCAGGCAGGAGGCUGAGGGCCAACCCCUGGAUCCUGAUGGCACAUUGGAGGUGACCAGGAAGCAUCCGUGGGCCUUCCGUUCUCCAUACACACUUCCACCCUGGCCCCUCUCCUUAGCCCGGUCUCCAUCCUGGGCAGUUCUCAGGACACACACCGAGGAGCAAGCGUCGCCACAUUUCUUCUCCCCAGACUUAUUCUCUGCACCGCGGAGUCCUGGAAUACAAGUUCAUCAUAUGCAAUGAAGAUGGCCUGGGUGGCAGAUGGUGACAUACCAGGAACAGAACCUUCCUCAUUAUUCUGCUAUUAACUGAAUUUACCUUUAGACUUGUCAUCCCCUUGAAGUGACAGAAACUUAACUUUGGUUACUUUGGGGUCUCCUCACUCUCCCCAGGUAGCACCUUGGUACCAGAGGCUUAAGCCACACCAGGUGUAUUUGGGGGCCAAUCACGGCUGGCUCCUGUGUCCCGUGGACACCUGCUGACUGCUCUGCCAACCCACUUGUUCUUCCUGUCUCCCCUCCCCCACAGUUCUUCUUCCUGCCUAGAAAGGUCUAGAAGCCUGGGUUGCUGCUUAUUCCAUGCUGUGCUGGGACCAUCCUUCCUGGCCAUCACUCCACUCUGCAGGACCACUAUCCCAGGCUGACUGUUGCCCAAGCACCCUGGACAGCAGGCAUGGCCGUUUCCUCUGUGGGUCCUCCUGCCCCCGGGACAUACAUGCUGGAAGGCAGCUCAGGAAUCCCCCACAUCUGCACAGGGUUUGCUCAGGCCCUGGGCUCUUGGCUUGGGCUUGGUUGUCCUUCGGGGGGUCUCCUGACUCAGAGUGAAACUGCACUCUCCGGCUCUUGCUAAAGCCAGGCCUGAAUCACUUUGGGGCAAAAUGUGGGCAACACAGCCACCCUCUGGCCCUGUCCUCAGAACCAGGCCUCCCUGGUAACAGAUGUGCUCCAAGCGCAAGUGAGGGCCUUGCUGCCGACCUCACGGGGGUGGGGUGGGGGGUCUUGGUAGCAGAGGACGAGCCCUGGUUCUCUGGGUGUGGGUUUGGAGCAGGCAGAGGGAAGCCCAGGAAUGUGCCCCACAGUCCUCCAUGUCCUGCAGCAGCACCCAAGAGCCUUUGCAUGGUCUCUAGCCACAGGCUUCUCCUCAUUUUCUACUUCAAAAGGGUUUUGAAAUGCCUGGGGUGAGUCUGUACCUUAAUAUGGAAAUAUAAACCUUCCCGAGGUGACAAGGACAUUUAGCUACAAGAAAGGACAUACUUUGGGAGGGUGCUUUGCCCUUCCAAUCAAGUUUUCCUGGUUGCUCCCUCCACCCCACCCCACCCCACCCCCACCCGCUCUCCAGGAGGAUUUGUUUGUCAGCCUGCAGGGGUUUCCUGGGAGUGACUCUGCGUGUCAUCUGACGAUCUCACUGUCCUCAGUACCUUCACCAGUGCUACAGGGAAAGAGAAUGAGGGUGAUGGCUCUCUUCCUCUUCUUACAGGGCCACCAAAGCUACUGAAUGAGGGUCCCCCCCCAUGACCUCGUUUGACCUGACCACCAGGCUUCACCCUGUGGAUCUGGGGAGACACAGUUCAGCCCAGAGCAGUGUCCUCAGCCUCCACCCUGGGGUCAACUCUUUAGCUCUUGUGCCUUCCCCCUGAGCUGGAAGUUUCUGGAUCACAAGAGGCACAGUGUCCACCAUCUCCAUCUGGAUCUGCAUCCCAGCCUGGCCUCCCCAGGUCGCCCUCAGCUCAGGUGGGGAGGGUGCAGGUGUGAGGGCUGGUGCUUGGAAGCCAAGAGGCUUAGUGUGCAGAGAAGACCCAGGGCCGCAGAGCCUGGCGCUCCGUGGUCUCCUCUGGUGGCUGAGGGCCAUGUGGGAACCAAGCCUGCAGGUGAAGCUGCAGCAGGCUGAGGUUCUGGGUCUUUCCGAUGACUCAAGUCUCCUCUCUGAGGAGCUUCCUUCUCUUGGACAAUCAGAUCUAGAGUCCACACGAUGCCCAAGGCAUGGGAAUGUAAAACAUAUGGUAGGUUCGUCCACAUACAGCAAGGGCGGUGGGCGGCGGCAGGGCUGUUUUAUUACAGAAGCUGGUAAAUUUGGAAAACAUCAUUUGGUCUGCUACAUGUCUAAUUCUCCAUAAUAAUGAGAGCUUUGAGAGGCUCAAUAUAUGUACAUUUGGUUGGCUUAAGCCCUUGAAAUUUUCUGGUGCAAUUUUAACAUUUCUCAUUAUAUCCAAGUUCCCUGUCUUUAGUUUGUAAGUCAGGUAGGGAAACAUUUGCUAUCUGAAAGACUUUUCCAUGGUCUGAAAAUCAGCUCCCAGUGUUGGAAGAGGAUGCCCUCCCCUGGCCCCGUUCAUGCUCGGGCUAUGCAGCAGAGCUGCUGGAAGGGUCUGUGUCAAUUAUCUCUCCGUGGGGCUGGCGGGAGCUUGUGCAGGGUACGCUGUGGGACUGAGAUAAGAAAACAAUCAAUUUUUCAUAAUUAAAAAAAUUUCCUAUUUAAUUUUCAAAUAGGAAGGAGAAGGAAGGGUUUUGUCCAGUAUUUGUACAGACCCAGUCUUAAAAUCUGGGCAUGACAUUAACUGAACUCACUUGUUCAAUCACGCGAUGCUUGUUUUUUAGAAAGCUGUCCGUCACACUGGCAAGAAGGAACUCAGUCCCAGCCCUCCCAGGCUGGUCCCAAGGGCAGAUGCUGACAAAGUGCAGAAGGAGAGGGAGGGGCAUCACAGAGACCCAUCACUGCUCUGACGAAUUCCCUGGGUGACUCUCCAGAAGCAACGUUAAGACUGAGUUCUGGUUCAAAAGAUGAACUGAGUGUGAGCAUUUAUCCUGCCGUCUUCAGUAGCGCUGUCGAAACAAUAUUAAGUGUAAAAUUAAGUGCAAAAAAGAGGAGGCGGUGAAGGGUGACCAUUAGGAGCCAAGAGAUUGUCAUGGAUUUCAAGAAAAUAGGCUGAGUUGGGAGGGCUGCCAUUGGGAAUGAGCCCAGAGAGGGCAGACAUGGCAGCUGCUCCUUUCCUCCAAGCCUGGGGGCGGGAGGCGUGGGGCACUUGAAGGACUGGGUGCUAGCCAGGGUGUUGGCCCCAGAUUAAAAGAAGAGAAAAUAGAAAACUAUCUACCAGGAAGGACUGGAUCAUGGGUGUGAGUUCUGACACACCUGAUAAGCAUCCUGCUGCUGGUACCCAGGUGGGACACUGCCCAACUUUCCUGCUUCCCACCCUUGAAUCAGAAUAAGUCUGUGAACACAAGCUCGUCCGUCUAGUACCCGGGUACCCAGAGAAACAACUAGGAAGAGCAUGCGUUUCAUGUCAGUGAUUUAUAUGACUCAACCAAGACCUGUUUUUGUAGAUAUUGAAAAGAAAAGUCUAUAUCAUCACGCCCCUAGAAACCAAAUGGCAGAAGAGAAGGAAUCAGUGGGAACAAAUGCAAGGAAACAGGCACGGACAGAGACAGCCUCAGGAAAGUACCAUUGAGGUCUCAGCGUGAUGUCCUAAAGUACUUUCCCUAUAAAAGAAGAACCAGAAACCAAGAAGAAAGAACAGGAAAGAGAUGGUUGCCCUGCUGGGGAAUCCAGACCAUGACAGUUCUGUCUGCUUCCUCUGAGAAAAUUCCCAAAGAAAAUGGGCUUUUUAUCAGAUUAUAUCAAUUGACCAAAACGUCGUGCCUUGGGAUAGUCCAAUCUUGGCAACACAGGGGUGGAAAUCUGAAAAUGAUGACUCACAUUUUUUUCUUUUUUGGUACUAGAGAUUGAAGCCAGGGAUACUUAACCACUGAGGCACAUCCCCAGCCCUUUUUAUUUUAUUAGAGACCAGGUCUUGCUGAGUUGCUCAGGGCCUCAUUGAAUCGCUGAGGCUGGGUUUGAACUCAUGAUCCUCCUGCCUCAGCCUCCUGAGUGGCUAGGAUUAUAGGCAUGAGCCGCUGAGCCUGGCUGACUCAUAUUUUUUACCUGACGUUUGAUUUCAUUGUAUAAACUUACCCAUUGACGUGCUCAAUCCAAUAGCUUUCAGUAUGUUUGUGAAGAUGCACAGCCAACGCAGAUACUGAACAUUUCCUUACACGUAAGAGGAGUCCUACCCCCAGAGGCAAACAUUCUCCAGACCUCUGGUCCCAGGAGACAGUUCCCUACUGUCUGUCUCUGUGAAUUUGCUUCUUCUGGACCUUUCAUGUAGAAGGAGUCAUAUGAUGUGUGACCUUUUGAGUCUGAUUUCUGUCACGUAGCAUGGUAUUUUUCAAGGUUCCUUCAGGUUGUAGCAUGAAUAUGUACUUCAUUUCCUUUUACGGAUGAACAAUAUUCCAUUCUAUGGAUAGAACACAUUUUGUUUAUCCACUUAACCAGCUGAUGGGAUUUGGUUAAUGCUUUUUGGCAAUUACGAAUAAAAUUGCUAUAAACAUUUGUAUAUAAAUUUUCGCACAGACUUUUUUUUCAGUUUUCUGAGGGAUAUUUAUACACCUACAAAUGGAAUGGCUCUAUGGUAAACGUAUGGUAAAUUGACAUUCACAUUUUUGAGGCAAUGCCGAAAUGUUUUCCACUGUGACUGUGUCACUUUACAUUCCCAGCAGCCGCCUGGGAGGGGUUCUGGUUGCCCCACACCUCCGCCAAGGCUUCCAUCAAUGGCCAUCCCGGUGGGUACACCGAGGUGGUGGCUCUUGUGGUUUCCAAGACUGAGCCUUUGGCCAUCUUUUCCUGCCCUCCCCACUCGGUCAGACACUUGAUGCUCUUAGCCUUCUAUCCUCCAGACCAGCCAGAGGGGAGAACCUAGGCCCCUUCCAGGGCUUCCUGGGACGUGCAACACUGUUGCACAUGGCCUCGGCCUUGUGGGUCCUAGAACAUGGCAGAGCUUCUCAAAACCCUCCCCACCCCACGUCUCCUGGACACCUCAGCUUAUCUUUUUAAGCUUUUGGGCUAGCUUCUCGUUUGUCCCACUGAUAUCCCUGUGGCAGGCAGUUGUUAAACAAAUGCUGCUGGUUGCUUCUGAAGAACGUCCCAGGGAAGAGCUGUCCCCACCGAGUGAGCUCUGGAAGACAAGCCCUGCCAGCGC